GUCAUCUUGCCUGAGAUCCCGCAAGGAAGAAGAACGAGUCCAUGAAGAAGACAAAUGGACGUAGUCAAACGGAUCCUCACAAACGCGACGUUAUCGGAACCAACCCGAAGAAGCAACACCGGAAAGAAGCAAAACACAUAGUAAACAACCACCACAUAAACAUGGCAUGAUGCACAACCAAGUAUGAUGCAUGUCCAGUUUAAUGAGGCAUGGCAUGGCAAAGUGCACAAGCAACCCUACAAAUUAAGUGGAGCUCAAUAUGCAACGAGUUGCAUAUUGAUGAAACACCACAACAAGUUAUUUAGUUCGAUCUCAGUUAUGUACCCAACAAUAUUAAAUGUUGUUUAGCAUGGCAAGGGGUGAUGCAAAGUAAAACUACCUAUCUAGGCAAGUUUAAAUGAGGCCGGAACAACAAACAACAAUUCCAGAAAAUCCUCAUGUGCAUAUUAAUGGAUUUGGUACUGUUCUGCCCUAAACACAAUUUUAAAGUUGAUAAACAUGCAAAGUAAAGCCACCAUGUUAAACUAGGCAUUUUCCCACCCCAUUUACAUAUAAAGUUUAUUAAAUUCCGAGUUACAGUUAUAAUAAAGCAUUUUAACAUGGCAUAUGAGCAAAUUAAUGCAAACAGCAGUUUAAACAUUUUAAACGUGGUUGAAAGUUGGAUAUUAUGAAACUAGACAAAAUUCUAAGCACUUUACAUAUUAAGUUUGUCUUAAUCCGAUGCACGGUUGUGGAGUAAUUAAAUGCAUGAAGUUUAGGGGCUAUACUGCAAAACUACAAUCACUGGAUUAAAUAGAAAAUUCGUCUUGGCAAGGAAAUAACAUAACGGGCCGAAUCUGAGUUGAACUGGGCUGGAACAGGAGCAAGUGCAACAUAUUAGCGUGCGCUCACGAGCGUCGGAUGGCGCAGAAGCAAAUGGGCCACGGCCCGACAGUAGGGGAGCUCACCAGAGGACAGAUGGGCUGGAGAGAUUGAUCCAGAGUAUCAAAUCGCCCCCAGGUACAAUCGAUGCAGGGUCAACGCAGGGGCUUGAGCGCUCAGGGCAGGCGGGCGAGCGAGGUAGGAGAGGUCAACGCGAGCGACGACCUAGCGCAGGGCGAAGCAAAAAGAGGACCCCGCGGUUCAAGCGAAGCAGAGGCAGCGGCGGCGGGGUGCUCUCCGGCGAGGGUAGCCAAGACAGCGGCGGCGGCCAUGGGAGCUCAUGUUCGUCCUGUACUGAGAGGCAGAGGACUAAGAGAGAUAAGGAGAAGGCAGGAGAGAAAGAGGAGAGGGGAAGGAUGGGCAGAGGCACGGCGACCUGUGGUUCUCCGGCGUCGUGCUCGCCAGCGUGGCGGUGAGGCAGCAGAUCGAGCGGAGGCGGAGCUCUGCUCGGGCCAGAGGAAAGGGACGGCAUGAAGCAGUUAUUUGAAGCAGGGAACGAGCGGCGCUGGCGGGACUUGGGAACGAGCUUGCUCCGGCGAGGGUACAGAGGUCCAUGGUGCUCGAGAGGAGUCAUGCUGGCUCCGGCGAGCUGUUGGUCACCGGCGACGGUCGCGGUCACGGACGAGGGGGUAGGCGCUGGUUGGAGGGAGUGGAGGACGAACGGGAGGCACGGGAGCCUGGCUCCAUGGAAGUGCUCGAGAAGGAGGGGAUCCGGAUGCGGUUCUUGCCGAUCCAAAGCGAGGGAGGCUGCGGCUUGCUCUGCUGCGGGGAUGGGCGGCUGGAUGGAUCUCUGAGGGGCCGGGGUUCGCUCGAUGGAAGGAUUCGAGAUGGCAGGAGAGUGGAUCGGGAGGGAUCCCGAGGAAGAAUAGGGGUGGUUGACUGGCCGCGGCGGGGAUUGGAGAGGGGGUGGAUCCCUAGAAAUUAGGUUUUGGUCUGAUUUGGGAAGAGGUGGUCUAUUUAUAGGGACAAAAGGAGUAGGUUUGGACCCUACGAUCGAAAUUGGACGGUCGAGAAUAAAUGGGUUAGGAAAUCCAAAUGAGAAAACGGUGAUGUUUUGUAGACGUUUGGGGAUGAUCCGAACCCAACGGUGACGACUGCCUGGGUCAAGUUCGGGACAACUUUUUCGGACGCGCGCGAGGGGCCAAUGCACUAUGCAAAGAGGGGUAGGCAUGGGCCUAGGUGGACUGUGGAGAGCAGGUUGGUCUGAGAGAAGAGGGGAGAGAAGCAGCCCAGCACUGUUUUCGGAGACCGAAAACGUCCGACGAAAAGACCGGCUAUACUGCCGCAAUAGUUAAACGGUUGGGCUAUCCAACGGACUCCAAACGCGAUGAAAUUUGACAGGAGGUCCUCCUACACUAAAUAAGACCGCACGCCAACUUUCAUCCCAAUCCGGGAACAUUUUCCGGCCACUUAAAAAAAUACUAUUUUGGACGUGCCGCGGGCGCGUGCAAGUGUGUCUGGGCUCGGAACGGACAACGGACGGAACUGGAGGAACCUGGACGGAUGCAAGUUUUGAAAACAUGAUAAUGCAAUGCGGAUGAUGACAUGGCAAGAUGCAACACGCAAGCAAAUGACAAGGCAACAACAGCGAAUAACUGGAUGACACCUGGGGCAACGGUCUCGGGGCGUCACAUAAAUGUAUAAUCGUAUUGCAAUAAACAGGAUCCAAUCAUAUUAUGCUCAACGAAAAUACCAAAUAGCAUUUAUUUUAGGUUCAACACUAAUCCCCAAGGUAAAGGGAGUGUGCGAUGAUGAUCUUAUCAACCUUGGAAUUACUUCCAACACACAUUGUCACCUCACCCUCAACCAGUCUUUGUCUAUUUUUUAACUCCCAUUUCGAGUUACUACUCUUAGCAACUGAACCAGUAUCAAAUACUGAGCGGUCGCUAUAAACACUAGUAAAGUACACAUCAAUAACAUACAUAUCAAAUAUACUUUUGUUCACUUUGCCAUCCUUCUUAUCCGCCAAAUAUCUAGGGCAGUUCCACUUCUAGUGACCAUUUCCUUUGCAGUAGAAGCACUCAGGUCCAGGCUUGGGUCUAGCUUUGGGCUUCUUCAUGGGAGUGACAACUUGCUUGCCAUUCUUCUUUAAGUUCCCUUUCUUUCCCUUGCCCUUUUACUUGAAACUAGUGGUCUUGUCAACCAUCAACAUUUGAUUCUUUUCUUGAUUUCUACCUUCGUCGAUUUCAGCAUCACGAAGAGCUCGGAAAUCGUUUUCGUCGUCCCUUGCAUAUUAUAGUUCAUCACGAAGUUCCAGUAACUUGGUGAUAGUGACUAGAGAACUCUGUCAAUUACCAUCUUAUCUAGAAGAUUAACUCCCACUUGAUUCAAGCAAUUGUAGUAUCCAGACAAUCUGGGCACAUGCUCACUGGUUGAGCUAUUCUCCUCCAUCUUGUAGGCAAAGUAUUGUCCGAGGUCUCAUACCUCUCGACACGGGCAUGAGUAUGAAAUACCAAUUUCAACUCUUGGAACAUCUCAUAUGCUCCAUGUCGUUCAAAACAUUUUGAAGUCCCGGUUCUAAGCCGUAAAGCAGGGUGCACUAAACUAUCAAGUAGUCAUCCUACUGAGCUUGGCAAACAUUCAUAAUGUCUGCAUCUGCUCCUACAAUCGGUCUGUCACCUAGCGGUGCAUCAAGGACAUAAUUCUUCUAUGCAGCAAUGAGGAUAAUCCUCAGAUCACAGACCCAAUCCGCAUCAUUGCUACUAUCAUCUUCCAACAUAGUUUUCUUUAGGAACAUAUCAUAAAUAAAACGGGGAAGCUAUACGCGAGCAAUUGAUCUACAACAUAGAUAUGCAAAUACUAUCAGGACUAAGUCCAUGAUAAAUUUAAGUUCAAUUAAUCAUAUUACUUAAGAACUCUCACUUAGAUAGACAUCUCUCUAAUCUUCUAAGUGAUUGUGUGAUCCAUAUCAACUAAACCAUGUCCAAUCAUCACGUGAGAUGGAGUAGUUUUCAAUGGUGAACAUCACUAUGUUGAUCAUAUCUACUAUAUGAUUCACGCUCGACCUUUCUGUCUCCCGUGUUUCGAGGCCAUAUCUGCAUAUGCUAGGCUCGUCAAGUUUAACCCGAGUAUUCUGCGUGUGCAAAACUGGCUUGCACCCGUUGUAUGUGAACGUAGAGCUUAUCAUACCCGAUCAUCAUGUGGUGUCUUGGCACGACGAACUGUCACAACGGUGCAUACUUAGGGAAAACACUUAUACUUUGAAAUUUAGUGAGAGAUCAUCUUAUAAUGCUACCGCCGAACUAAGACAAAUAAGAUGCAUAUAGGAUAAACAUCACACAAAAUCAAAAUAUGUGACAUGAUAUGGCCAUGAUCAUCUUCCACCUUUGAUCUCCAUCUCCAAAGUACCGUCAUGAUCUCUAUCGUCACCGGCAUGACACCAUGAUCUCCAUCAUCUUGAUCUCUAUCAACGUGUCAUCACAUGGUUGUCUCGCCAACUAUUGCUCUUGCAACUAUUGCUAUCGCAUAGCGAUAAAGUAAAGCAAUUAUUUGGCGCUUGCAUCUUAUGCAAUAAAGAGACAACCAUAAGGCUCCUGCCAGUUGCCGAUAACUUUAACAAAACAUGAUCAUCUCAUACAACAAUUUAUAUCUCAUCACAUCUUGACCAUAUCACAUCACAACAUGCCCUGCAAAAACAAGUUAGACGUCCUCUACUUUGUUGUUGCAAGUUUUACGUGGCUGCUACGGGCUGAGCAAGAACCGUUCUUACCUACGCAUCAAAAACCACAACGCGGUAUAGUGAUUGCUUUUUGAUCUUCAGAAAGAACCCUGUUCAUUGAAUCCGAUUCAACUAAAGCUGGAGAAACAGACACCCACUAGCCACCUGUGUGCGAAGCACGUUGGUAGAACCAGUCUCACAUAAGCAUACGCGUAAUGUUGGUAUGGGCCGCUUCAUCCAACAAUGCCGCUGAAUCAAGAAUCAACUAGUGACGGCAAGCAAUAUGUAUAUACCCACGCCCACAACUCCUUUGUGUUCUACUCAUGCAUAUAACAUUUACGCAUAAAUCUGGCUCAGAUGCCACUGUUGGGGAACGCAGUAAUUUCAAAAAAAUUCUAACGCACACGCAAGAUCAUGGUGAUGCAUAGCAACGAGAGGGGAGAGCUUCGUCCACGUACCCUCGUAGACCGUAAGCGGAAACAUUAUGAGAACACGGUAGAUGUAGUCGUACAUCUUCACGAUCCGACCGAUCCAAGUACCGAACAUACGGCACCUCCGAGUUCAGCACACAUUCAGCUCGGUGAUGUCCCACGAACUCCGAUCCAACAGAGCUUGGAGGAAGAGCUUCGUCAGCACGACAGCGUGAUGACGGUGAUGAUGAUGCUACCGACGCAGGGCUUCGCCUAAGCACCGCUAUGAUAUGACUGAGGUGGAUUAUGGUGGAGGGGGGCACCGCACAUAGCUAAAAGAUCAACUAUCAACUUGUGUGUCCAUGGGGUUCCCCCCUCCCCCGUAUAUAAAGGAGUGGAUGAGGGGGAGGGCCGGCCCUCUACUAUGGUGUGCCCUGGGGAGUCCUACUCCCACCGGGAGUAGGAUCCCCCCCUUCCAUGUAGUAGGAGUAGGAGAGAAGGAAAGGGAAAAGAGAAGAGAAGGAAGGAGGGGGCGCCGCCCCUCCCCCUAGUCAAAUUCGUACUAGGCCUUGGGGGCGCAGCCUCCCCUCUCUCUUUCCCCUAAAGCCCAAUAAGGCCCAUAUACUCCCCAGCGAAUUCCCGUAACUCUCCGAUACUCCGAUAAAUACCCGAACCACACAGAACCUUUCCGAUGUCCGAAUAUAGCCUUCCAAUAUAUCGAUAUUUACGUCUCGAACAUUUCAAGACUCCUCGUCAUGUCCCUGGUCUCAUCUGGGACUCUGAACAACCUUCGGUCCAACAAAACACAUAAACUCAUAAUACCGAUAGUCACCGAACGUUAAGCGGGCGGACCCUACGGGUUCAAGAACUAUGUAGACAUGGCCGAGACUCAUCUCCGGUCAAUAACCAAUAGCGAAACCUGGAUGCUCAUAUUGGUUCCUACAUUUGUACGAAGAUCUUUAUCGGUCAAACCGCAUAACAACAUAUGUUGUUCCUUUUGUCAUCGGUAUGUUACUUGCCUGAUAUUCGAUCGUCGGUAUCUCAAUACCUAGUUCAAUCUCGUUACCGGCAAGUCUCUUUACUCAUUCUGUAAUGCAUCAUCCCGCAACUAACUCAUUAGUCACAAUGCUUGCAAGGCUUAUAGUGAUGUGCAUUACUGAUAGGGCCCAGAGACACCUCUCCGAUACUCGGAGUGACAAAUCCUAAUCUCGAUCUAUGCCAACUCAACAAACACCAUUGGAGACACCUGUAGAGCACCUUUAUGAUCACCCAGUUAUGUUGUGAUGUUUGGUAGCACACAAAGUGUUCCUCCGGUAUUCGGGAGUUGCAUAAUCUCAUAGUCAUAGGAACAUGUAUAAGUCAUGAAGAAAGCAAUAGCAACAAACUAAAUGAUCAUCGUGCUAAGCUAAUGGAUGGGUCAAGUCAAUCACAUCAUUCUCUAAUGAUGUUAUCCCGUUAAUCAAAUGACAACUCAUGUCUAUGGCUAGGAAACUUAACCAUCUUUGAUUCAACGAGCUAGUCAAGUAGAGGCAUACUAGUGACAAUCUGUUUAUCUAUGUAUUCACACAUGUACUAAGUUUCCGGUUAAUACAAUUGUAGCAUGAAAAAUAAACAUUUAUCAUGAUAUAAGGAAAUAUAAAUAACAACUUUAUUAUUGCCUCUAGGGCAUAUUUCCUUCACUUCGUUCAUAACGAUCAUCUCUACUCAUUCUCUCUCUUGGAGGUGAUUCAUCUCUUCUACUUCUCCUUUUUGGUGAGUCUUCUCUUUUCUUGUAGGGAGCAGUACACUCAUUGGAGUAGUGUCCGGGUCUUCCACAAUUGUAGCAAUUACGACCACGACUAGAAGAUCUUUUGCCAUUGCAGGACCUUGACUUGGAGUUUCUUCCUUUGCUUCUAUUCUUGUAGAAUUUGUUGAAGUUCUUCACCAUUAAGCUCAAUUCUUCAUUGGAGACUUGCUUCUCACUUGACGUUGUAGGGGCAUCACUUGAGGCUUUGUAAUCACCACUUGACUUAUUGUGAAGCUCUUCCUUAUCCAUGAGUGACAUCUCAUGAGCAAAAAUUCUACCAGUGACUUUUGUGGGCUUGAGAUCUUUGUAAUUGGGCAUCAUUUGGAUCAAGGUGCACACGGUAUCAUAUUUUCCAUCCAAAGCUCUAAGGAUCUUUUUGAUGAUGAAUUUGUCGGUCAUCUCUUCACUUCCUAAGCCGACAAUCUCAUUUGUGAUGAGAGAAAACCUAGAGUACAUUUCCGCGACCCCUUCACCAUCCUUCAUAUUAAACUCAUCAAGUUGACUUUGAAGCACAUCCAACUUGGAUUCCUUGAUGGACUCGGUACCUUCGUGCAUAUCAACCAAAGUAUCCCAAACUUCCUUUGCAUUCUCAAGGCGGCUGAUUUUGUUGAGUUCUUCGGGGCACAAUCCAUUGAAGAGAAUAUCGCAAGCUUGAGCAUUGUAUUGCAACAUCUUCAUAUCUUGCACCUUCGCUUCAUGAUCUGGUUCUUUACCAUCCUCGAAGAAAUCACCUUGCAAGCUGAUACGUCUCCAACGUAUCUAUAAUUUUUGAUUACUCCAUGCUAUAUUAUUUAUUGUUUUGGGCAAUAAUGGGCUUUAUUUUCCACUUUUAUAUUAUUUUUGGGACUAACCUAUUAACCGGAGGCCCAGCCCAGAUUUGCUGUUUUGUGCGUAUUUUAGUGUUUCAAAGAAAAGGAAUAUCAAACGGAGUCGAAACGGAACGAAAUCAACUGAAGAAGUUAUUUUUGGAAGGAAACCUACCGGAUAGACUUGGGCCCUACAUCAGAAGAUGAAGGAAGAGCUCACGAGGGUAGGGGCGCGCCCACCCCCCUGGGGCGUGCCUCCCUGCCUCCUGGCCACCCCUUCGGUCCACCGACGUACUCCUUUCACCCAUAUAUACCCACGUAUACUAAAACUUCCAGAAUAGAGAUUAGAUCGGGAGUUCCGCCACCAGAAGCCUCUGUAGCCACCGAAAUCCAAUCUAGACCCGUUCCGGCACCCUGCCGGAGGGGGCAAUCCUUCUCUGGUGGCCAUCUUCAUCAUCCCGGUGCUCUCCAUGACGAGGAGGGAGUAGUUCUCCCUCGGGGCUGAGGGUAUGUACCAGUAGCUAUGUGUUUGAUCUCUCUCUCUCAUGUUCUUGAUUUGGCACGAUCUUGAUGUAUUGCGAGUUUUGCUAUUAUAGUUGGAUCUUAUGUUCCUCCUCCCCCUCUUCUCUCUUGUAAUGAAUUGAGUUUCCCCUUUGAAGUAAUCUUAUCGGAUUGAGUCUUUAAAGAUUUGAGAACACUUGAUGUAUCUCUUGCCGUGCGUAUCUGUGGUGACAAUGGGAUACCACGUGAUUCACUUGAUGUAUGUUUUGGUGAUCAACUUGUGGGUUCCACCCAUGAACCUAUGCAUAGGGGUUGGCACACGUUUUCGUCGUGAUUCUCCGGUAGGAACUUUGGGGAACUCUUUGAGGUCCUUUGUGUUGGUUGAAUAGAUGAAUCCGAGAUUGUGUGAUGCAUAUCGUAUAAUCAUACCCACGGAUACUUGAGGUGACAUUGGAGUAUCUAGGUGACAUUAGGGUUUUGGUUGAUUUGUGUCUUAAGGUGUUACUCUAGUACGAACUCUAGGGCUGUUUGUGACACUUAUAGGAAUAGCCCAACGGAUUGAUUGGAAAGAAUAACUUUGAGGUGGUUUCGUACCCUACCAUAAUCUCUUUGUUCGUUCUCCGCUAUUAGCGACUUUGGAGUGACUCUUUGUUGUAUGUUGAGGGAUAGUUAUGUGAUCCAAUUAUGUUAUUAUUGUUGAGAGGACUUACACUAGUGAAAGUAUGAACCCUAGGCCUUGUUUCCUAGCAUUGCAAUACCAUUUACGCUCACUUUUAUCACUUGUUACCUUGCUGUUUUUAUAAUUUCAUAUUACAAAUACCUUUAUCUACUAUCCAUAUACCAGUUGUAUCACCAUCUCUUCACCGAACUAGUGCACCUAUACAAUUUACCAUUGUAUUGCGUGUGUUGGGGACACAAGAGACUCUUUGUUAUUUGGUUGCAGGGUUGCUUUAGAGAGACCAUAUUCAUCCUACGCCUCCUACGGAUUGAUAAACCUUAGGUCAUCCACUUGAGGGAAAUUUGCUACUGUCCUACAAACCUCUGCACUUGGAGGCCCAACAACGUCUACAAGAAGAAGGUUGUGUAGUAGUUAUCAAGCUCUUUUCUGGCGCCAUUGCCGGGGAGGUGAGUGUUUGAAGGUAUAUCUUUAGAUCUUGCAAUCGAGUCUUUAAGUUUCUUGUUUUAUCACUAGUUUAGUUUAUAAAAGAAAACUACAAAAAAUGGAAUUGAGUUUGUCUCAUACGCUUCAUCUUUUUAAUAUCUUUCGUGAGUAUGAUGGAAAGGAUAAUUGUGCUCAAGUGCUAGAAGAAGAGAUGUCUAAAAUGUUUGGCACUAAAUAUUUGAAUGAUGAGCAUGAUUGCAAUGUUGUUAGUAUGAAUUCUUUGAAUAUCCAUGAUGCUAAUGAUGAUUGCACUAGUUAUGAUGAAAAUGCCUCCUAUAAACAUGUCAAUUUUUGUGGAGUAGACUGGGUUUGCAAGUACACACCAAAUAGGGAAGAUAGAUAUUGCAAGAGGCAUAAGUACUUAGAAACCAAAUUGUUGCAGAAGAGCUAGAUGAAUGUGCUGAAAAUUUAUCUUUUCUUAGCCCUACUUGUGAACUUUGCAAUGAACGUGAUCAUCUUAGUACCCAAUGCAAAUUGUUUGAUGAGCGUAUCGUGUCCAAAAAUUGUGAUGACUUGAUUUCCCUUGCACAUCAUAAUGAACUUAGUUUGCUCUUGGGUUAUGAAGAAAUUAAACAUAGAACUAAGGAUAUUCCAAAAUUUUCCCUUGAUAAAAUUCUUCAUUUUGAUCUAGAGGAAAUUUAUAUGUAUUGCGCGGUGAAUUGCAUUGAAAAUCCUUAUAUUGCCAAUUACAUAAAGAAAAGAAAACAAAUAGAAGAUGAAGAGAAUGCUAACGAAAGGGAAGAGACUUCCCAAUAUUCUCCUAUUAUUUCUUAUGAUGAAUCAGGUAACGAAGAGGAGCCCUCUAUUCAACCAAUCUCAUUAAUAAGGAGCUCCAAAAAGAGGAUUGAACCCACACAUGAUGUGGUGAAGAAGAAGAAAAGAAAAAGGAAGAGAGGUAAAAAGGUAUCUCUCCCAAAUAAAGUUGCUCCUAUUAUUGUUGUGCCUCAUGAAAAUGAUACACUUGAUGAUGAUCUCAUUAUGCCUAUUGCUUGUUGUGAUGAUUAUGAUUGGGAAGAUAAUGAAACUUCUUAUGAUCUUGAAAAUCUUUUUGGCACUUGCUUGGAAGAAUAUUAUAAUUGCUCUACUAUUGGUGCUAUCUAUACUACUAAUGAUGAGAGUGAUUAUGCUUAUGAUAUGAAAAGGCCCAAGCUUGGGGAAGCUAUGUUUGAUGAGGAUGACAUAUUUGAGAAUAUAUUUGCUGCAAUUAAUGUUUGUCCCAAGCUUGGGGAUGCUAUGUUUAAUAAUGAUGAUAUUUUUAGCCUCUCAAGUUUUGAUAUGCAAAGUUGUUAUGAUGAUAGCAUGCCUUCUACUUACGAUGAUUAUAUUGAUGAAAGUGGGUUUGGAAGAGUGUCAACUUUAGGAAGUAAUGAUCCCACUAUUUUGGAGUAUGUUGAAUCUUAUAAUAUUUAUGAAAAUGGAUUUGGAGAGGUCAUGACUUUAUUUAGUGAUGUAUCCACUAUCUUGGAAGAGGUUUCAAUUGAUUAUGAUGAGAACAAAGUUGCUACUUAUGAUGAUUAUUGUGAUAAAACUUAUGCUAUAAAGAGUAGUGAUGAUUAUAUUUAUAAAACUUGUCAUGAUUAUGAGUACCCUUUCUCUGAACAUUACUCCUUUAACGUGGAAACAAUUUAUAGUAUUCAAGUCUCUUAUGAUACUCCCACUAUUCCGAAUGAGAAGAAUUUUGCUUAUGUGGAGAGUAGUAAAUUUUCUAUGCAAGUAGAUCAUGAAAAUAAUUAUUUAGGUGCUGGUUAUAUUGUUGAAUUAAUUCAUUAUGCUACUGAAAAUUAUUAUGAGGGAGGAAUAUAUGCUUGUAGGAAUUGCAAUAAUAUCAAGUUUCCUCUCUAUGUGCUUAAAAUUUUGAAGUUAUGCUUGUUUUACCUUCCUAUGCAAGUUGAUUAUUGUUCCCACAAGUUGUUUGCUCAAAAAAUCCCUAUGCAUAGGAAGUAUGUUAGACUUAAAUGUGCUAGUCAUAUUCUUCAUGAUUCUCUCUUUAUGUUUCAAUUAUUAUCUUUUAUGUAAGCAUCGUUGAAAUCAUCAUGCCUAGCUAGGGGCGUUAAACGAUAGCGCUUGUUGGGAGGCAACCCAACUUUAUUUUUGUUCCUUGCUUUUUGUUCCUGUUUAGUAAUAAAUAAUUCAUAUAUCCACUGUUUAGAUGUGGUUUUAUGUGUUUAAUUAGUGUUUGUGCCAAGUAGAACCUUUGGGAAGACUUUGGGAAAGUCUUGCUGAUCAUGCUGUCAAAAACAGAAACUUUAGCGCUCACGAGAAUUGCUGCCAUUUUUAUUUGGAGAGUGAUAUUUAGUUAAUUCUUUUUUAAGAUGAUUAAUAUAUAAAUUCCUCAGGUCCAGAAAUUUAUUUUAGAAUUUUAUGAGUUCCAUAAGUAUACGUUUGAUCCAUAUUACUACAUACUGCUCUGUUUUUGACAGAUUCUGUUUUUCAUGUGUUGUUUACUUAUUUUGAUGAAUCUAUGGCUAGUAAAAUAGUUUAUAAACCAUAGAGAAGUUGGAAUACAGUAGGUUUAACACCAAUAUAAAUAAAGAAUGAGUUCAUUACAGUACCUUGAAGUGGUGAUUUAUUUUCUUGUACUAAUGGAGCUUACGAGUUUUCUGUGAAGUUUUGUGUUGUGAAGUUUUCAAGUUUUGGGUAAGGAUUCGAUGGACUAUGGAAUAAGGAGAGGCAAGAGCCUAAGAUUGGGGAUGCCCAAGGCACCCCAAGGUAAUAUUCAAGUAUAGCCAAGAUCCUAAGCUUGGUGAUGCCCCGGAAGGCAUCCCCUCUUUCGUCUUCGUUCAUCGGUAACUUUACUUGGAGCUAUAUUUUUAUUCGCCACAUGAUAUGUGUUUUGCUUGGAGCAUCAAUUUAUUUUGUUAGGAUUUGCUUGCUGUUAUUUAGAACAAUGUUUUUCAUCUUUUAUUUCAAUAAAAGUGGCAUUGAUAGUCUUUACUAUGCCUAUUUUACAAGUCUACAUGUUGCUGUUUGAAAAUACAAAAGUUUACCGCUGUUGCAAUAAUUCCCUAGAAAAGUCAGAAUGUGAUAAAAUGUUGAAACCUUUUGCAUAUUAAGCUCUGAUAAAUUUACCACAGUGUGAAUUUUAUUUCAUAAUUUUUGGAGCUAGGGAAGUAUGGAUGUUUCAGCAUUCUUUGCAGACUAUCCUGUUUAGGCAGAUUGCUAUUAUGUUUGCAUCGUUUGCAUAUGGUUGCUCCUUUAAUGAUUCUAUUUGAGGAUAGGACUAUUAAAUAUGCAGAGUAAUUUAGUAUGAAAUGUUUAAUAAUAAUGUUAGUGAUUUUCUACAGUAGAGUAUGAUAAGGUUUUUGCAAUAUGUUAUGCUAACUUAUCUCACGAGUCCUUGUUGAGUUUUGUGUGGAUGAAGCUUUUGAGAUUUAGGGAGACCGUGAUAUGAGAGGAAUUAAGGAGACACAAAAGAUCAAGCUUGGGGAUGACCAAGACAUCCCAAGAUAAUAUUUCAAGAAGUCUGAAGCAUCUAACCUUGGGGAUGCCCCGGUUGGCAUCCCACCUUUCUUCUUCAACAAUUAUCGGUUAGUUUCGGUUGAUCCUAAGAUUUUGCUUCUUCACAUGAUGUUUGCCAUUCUUAGAAUGUCAUUUUAUUUUGCUUUGCUUGAUGUUUGAAUAGAAUACCAAGAUCUGAAAUUAUUAAAUGUUAGAGAGUCUUCACAUAGUUGCAUAAUUAUUCGACUACUCAUUGAUCUUCACUUAUAUCUUUCGGGGUAGUUUGCCGUUGCUCUAGUGCUUCACUUAUAUCUUUUAGAGCAUCGUUGUAGUUUUAUUUUGAAGAAAUAGAUGAACUCUCAUGCUUCACUUAGAUUAUUUUGAUAGUCUUAAUAGCAUGGUAAUUUUCUUAGAAUCCUAAUAUGCUAGGUAUUCAAGAAUAAUAAAAUUCUCUUAUGAGUGUGUUGAAUACUAUGAGAAGUUUGAUACUUGAUAAUUGUUUUGAGAUAUAGAGAUGGUGAUAUUAGAGUCAUGCUAGUUGAGUAGUUGUGAAUUUGAGAAAUGCUUGUGUUGAAGUUUGCAAGUCCCGUAGCAUGCACGUAUGGUAAACGUUGUGUAACAAAUUUGAAACAUGAGGUGUUAUUUGAUUGUCCUCCUUAUGAGUGGCGGUCGGGGACGAGCGAUGGUUUUUUCCUACCAAUCUAUCCCCCUAGGAGCAUGCACGCAGUACCGAGGUUUUUGAUGACUUGUGGAUUUUUGCAAUAAGUAUGUGAGCUCUUCAUGACUAAUGUUGAGUCCAUGGAUUAUACGCACUCUCACCCUUCCAUCAUUGCUAGCCUCUUCGGUACCAUGCAUUGCCCUUUCUCGCAUUGAGAGUUGGUGCAAAGCUGGUGCAUCCAAACCCCGUGUUAUUUGAUUGUCCUCCUUAUGAGUGGCGGUCGGGGACGAGCGAUGGUCUUUUCCUACCAAUCUAUCCCCCUAGGAGCAUGCACGUAAUACUUGGUUUUUGAUGACUUGUAGAUUUAUGCAAUGAGUAUGCGAGUUCUUUAUGACUAAUGUUGAGUCCAUGGAUUAUACGCACUCUCACCCUUCCAUCAUUACUAGCCUCUUCGGUACCGUGCAUUGCCCUUUCUCACCUUGAGAGUUGGUGCAAACUUCGCCGGUGCAUCCGAACCCCGUGAUAUGAUACGCUCUAUCACACAUAAACCUCCUUAUAUCUUCCUCAAAACAGCCACCACACCUACCUAUUAUGGCAUUUCCAUAGCCAUUCCGAGAUAUAUUGCCAUGCAACUUUCCACCAUUCCGUUUAUCAUGACACAUUCAUCAUUGUCAUAUUGCUUAGCAUGAUCAUGUAGUUGACAUAGUAUUUGUGGCAAAGCCACCGUUCAUAAUUCUUUCAUACUUGUCACUCUUGGUUCAUUGCAUAUCCCGGUACACCGCCGGAGGCAUUCAUAUAGAGUCAUCUUUGUUCUAGUAUCGAGUUGUAAUCAUUGAGUUGUAAAUAAAUAAAAGUGUGAUGAUCAUCAUUUUCUAGAGCAUUGUCACAAGUGAGGAAUAAAAAAAGAGAAAGGCCAUAAAAAAGAGAAGGCCCCAAAAAAGAGAAAGGCCAUAAAAAAGGAAAAGGCCCAAAUAAAAAAAUAAAAAAAAUAAAAAAAUGAGAGAAAAAGAGAGAAGGGACAAUGCUACUAUCCUUUGCCACACUUGUGCUUCAAAGUAGCACCAUAAUCUUCAUGAUAGAGAGUCUCUUGUUUUGUCACUUUCAUAUACUAGUGGGAAUUUUUCAUUAUAGAACUUGGCUUGUAUAUUCCAACAAUGGGCCUCCUCAAGUGCCCUAGGUCUUCGUGAGCAAGCAAGUUGGAUGCACACCCACUUAGUUUCUUUUGUUGAGCUUUCGUACAUUUAUAGCUCUAGUGCACCCGUUGCAUGGAAAUCCCUACUCCUUGCAUUAACAUCAAUCGAUGGGCAUCUCCAUAGCCCAUUUAUUAGCCUUGUUGAUGUGAGACUUUCUCCUUUUGUCUUCUCCACAUAACCCCCCUCAUUAUAUUCUAUUCCACCCAUAGUGCUAUAUCCAUGGCUCGCGCUCAUGUAUUACGUGAAAGUUUAUGAGUUUGAGAUUACUAAAGUAUGAAACAAUUGCUUGGCUUGUCAUCGGGGUUGUGCAUGAUGAGAGCAUUCUUGUGUGAUGAAAAUGAAACAUGACUAAACUAUAUGAUUUUGUAGGGAUAAACUUUCUUUGGCCAUGUUAUUUUGAGAAGACAUAAUUGCUUAGUUAGUAUGCUUGAAGUAUUAUCAUUUUUAUGUCAAUAUGAACUUUUGUCUUGAAUCUUUCGGAUCUGAAUAUUCAUACCACAAUUAAGAAGAAUUGCAUUGAAAUUAUGCCAACUAGCAUUCCACCUCAAUUUUUUUUAUCAUUUACCUACUCGAGGAUGAGCAGGAAUUAAGCUUGGGGAUGCUGAUACGUCUCCAACGUAUCUAUAAUUUUUUAUUGCUCCAUGCUAUAUUAUUUACUGUUUUGGGCAAUAUUGGGCUUUAUUUUCCACUUUUAUAUUAUUUUUGGGACUAACCUAUUAACCGGAGGCCCAUCCCAGAUUUGCUGUUUUAUGCAUAUUUCAGUGCUUCGAAGAAAAGGAAUAUCAAACAGAGUCGAAACGGAACGAAAUCAACUGGAGAAGUUAUUUUUGGAAGGAAACCUACAGGAUAGACUUGGACCCUACGUCAGAAGAUGAAGGAGGAACUCACGAGGGUAGGGGGCGCGCCCCCUGCCUCGUGGCCACCCCUUCGGUCCACCAACGUACUCCUUUCACCCAUAUAUACCCACGUAUCCUAAAACUUCCAGAACAGAGAUUAGAUCGGGAGUUCCACUGCCAGAAGCCUCCGUAGCCACCGAAAGCCAAUCUAGACUCGUUCCGGCACCCUGCCAGAGGGGGCAAUCCUUCUCCGGUGGCCAUCUUCAUCAUCCCGGUGCUCUCCAUGAAGAGGAGGGAGUAGUUCUCCCUCGGGGCUGAGGGUAUGUACCAGUAGCUAUGUGUUUGAUCUCUCUCUCUCUCUCUCGUGUUCUUGAUUUGGCACAAUCUUGAUGUAUCGUGAGCUUUGCUAUUAUAGUUGGAUCUUAUGUUUCUCCUCCCACUCUUCUCUCUUGUAAUGAAUUGAGUUUCCCCUUUGAAGUAAUCCUAUCGGAUUGAGUCUUUAAAGAUUUGAGAACACUUGAUGUAUGUCUUGCCGUGCGUAUCUGUGGUGACAAUGGGAUACCACGUGAUUCACUUGAUGUAUGUUUUGGUGAUCAACUUGCGGGUUCCGCCCAUGAACCUAUGCAUAGGGGUUGGCACACAUUUUCGUCCUGAUUCUCCGGUAGGAACUUUGGGGCACUCUUUGAGGUCCUUUGUGUUGGUUGAAUAGAUGAAUCUGAGAUUAUGUGAUGCAUGUCGUAUAGUCAUACCCACGGAUACUUGAGGUGACAUUGGAGUAUCUAGGUGACAUUAGGGUUUUGGUUGAUUUGUGUCUUAAGGUGUUAUUCUAGUACGAACUCUAGGGCUGUUUGUGACACUUAUAGGAAUAGCCUAACGGAUUGAUUGGAAAGAAUAACUUUGAGGUGGUUUCGUACCCUACCAUAAUCUUUUUGUUCGUUCUCCGCUAUUAGUGACUUUGGAGUGACUCUUUGUUGCAUGUUGAGGGAUAGUUAUGUGAUCCAAUUAUGUUAUUAUUGUUGAGAGGACUUACACUAGUGAAAGUAUGAACCCUAGGCCUUGUUUCCUAGCAUUGCAAUACCGUUUACGCUCACUUUUAUCACUUGUUACCUUGCUGUUUUUAUAAUUUCGGAUUACAAAUACCUUUAUCUACUAUCCAUAUACCACUUGUAUCACCAUCUCUUCGCCGAACUAGUGCACCUAUACAAUUUACCAUUGUAUUGGGUGUGUUGGGGAUACAAGAGACUCUUUGUUAUUUGGUUGCAGGGUUGCUUGAGAGAGACCAUCUUCAUCCUACGCCUCCUACGGAUUGAUAAACCUUAGGUCAUCCACUUGAGGGAAAUUUGCUACUGUCCUACAAACCUCUGCACUUGGAGGCCCAACAACAUCUACAAGAAGAAGGUUGUGUAGUAGACAUCACAAGCCAAUACGCACAACAAACCGAACGACGGGGUUAUGACCAAGAAUAUGCAUUUUCAUCUUAUGCUUCCAACUAGCAAAAAUUGUACCAUGAAAAUAAGGACCUCUACGGUGGUAAUUUCCCUCGCUAAACGCCAUACUCUCCUAGGUUGUGAAACCAAGGCUGUGAUCACCAAAGCUCUGAUACCACUUGUAGGAUCAAAAGCAUGUCCAGAGGGGGUGAUUAGACUACUUGACCAAAUAAAAAUCUAUCAUUUUCCCAAUUUUAGUUGUGGGCAGAUUUUAGCAAUUAGCACAAGUCAAGCAAUCAACCUACACAUGCAAUUCUAAGAGUAUAGCAGCGGAAAGUACAACAUUGCAUAUGAACGUAAAGGGAAGGGUUCGGAGAAGGCGAACGCAAUGGAGACACAUAGAUUUUUGGUGUGGUUCCGAAUUCCAAUAGGUGGUGCUAUCGUACGUCCACAUUGAUGGAGACUUCAACCCACGAAGGGUAAUAGUUGCAUGAGUCCACGGAGGGCUCCACCCACGAAGAAGCAACCUUGUAUAUGCCACCAUGGCCAUCGUCCAUGAAGGACUUGCCUCACUCAGGUAGAUCUUCAUGAAGUAGGCGAUCUCCUUGCCCUUAGAAACUUAUUGGUUCAACUCCACAUCACAAUUUAGGCUCCCAAGCGACACCUAACCAAUCUAGGAGACACCACUCUACAAAAGGUAAUAGAUGGUGUGUAGAUGAUGAACUCCUUGCUCUUGUGAUUCAAAUGAUAGUCUCCCCAACACUCAACUCUCCCUAUCAUUUUGUCUAUGGUGGAAGAGAGAUUUAAGUGGAAAGCAACUUGGGGAAGUCUAGAAUCAAGGUUCAAAAGGGUGGAUUGGAACCUCUUGAUCUCAACACAUGAGUUGGUGGCUCUUUCUCAGAAAAUGGAUGGUGGAAGUGUAGGCACGUUCUGAUGGCUCUCUCACAAAUGGAGAAGGGGUGGAAAACCGGCAGAUCUCGGGUAGGGGGUCCCGAACUGUGCGUCUAGGAUUGAUGGUAACAGGAGACGGGGGACACGAUGUUUACCCAGGUUCGGGCCCUCUCUAUGGAGGUAAUACCCUACUUCCUGCUUGAUUGAUCUUGAUGAAUAUGAUUAUUACAAGAGUUGAUCUACCAUGAGAUUGUAAUGGCUAAACCCUAGAAGUCUAGCCUAUGAAUAUGGUAAUGAGUAUAUGUCGUGUCCUUUCCGGACUAUCCCCUUCGGUUUAUAUAGACACCGAGGGGAUCUACGGUUUACAUGGAGUCGGUUACAUAAGAAGGAAUCUUCGGUCACCAAGCUUGCCUUCCACGCCAAGUAGAGUCCAAUCUGGACAUGAUGCAGUCUUCGGCCUUCAUGUCUUCACAGCCCAUCAGUUUGACCCAUGGAUAACAGGCCGGACGCGCGAGGACCCCUUAGUCCUGGACUCCCUUAGUAGCCCCUGAACAUGGCUUUCAAUGAUGAGGAGUCCGGCGUGCAGAUUGUCUUCGGAAUUGCAAGGCGGGUUCCCCUUUGUCUGAACUCCAAGAUAGUCUUCGGAUGCAAUGAUAGUAUCCUGAAUUGUUACGCACACCAUACACAACCGCAGAGAGAAUAUAAUAUUUGCACGAAUCUAAUCUGUUGACAGCUUUUUUCCAACACGACAUCAUGUUUGUCCGGUUAUAAUUUCGGACUGUUUUUCUUCUGCCAUUCCACGCUUCGAGACGCGGUUGCUAUCGGCACGUCUUGUUGAAACAGAGAUCGUGCCCCCUUAUUGCGGGAUUCUCAUCAAUGCAGGCAUGGGUAACUCAACCGUGCCGUUUAUACAGCCCUAGGGAACAGGCGAAUCCUAAGGCGAGUGAGUAGGCGUUUAAUAUUUGCUGCCUUUAUAAGGGGAUAAGGAUUCCCUCUUCUUCUCAUCACGCUCUCUCUCCGUCUCCGCCUUUCCGAUCUCAAGCUCCAGCACCCAAGUUCUCAUCACCUUUCCACUCAAGCAACCAUGUACGGAUCUGGUGGUCGGGGCAAGUGGAUGGUCUCCUCUGUCAAGGAGGAGGACAUUACUAAGCUCCGGGCGGCCGGAUAUUUGGCGAAGGAGAUCGCCCAUUGUUUGCCAAUCAAGGGACAAGUCGUCCCCACGCCGGAGCCCACGGAGAGGGUAGUAUUCAUCCCCCAUUUCUUCCGUGGGCUAGGGUUUCCACUCCACCCUUUCGUCUGCGGGCUGAUGUACUAUUACGGGAUAAAUUUCCAUGAUCUGUCCCCGAAUUCCUUCCUCAACAUCUCGGCAUUUAUCGUUGUGUUCAAGGCCUUCCUCCGCAUCCAUCCCCACUUCGGGUUGUGGCUCAAAGUCUUCAACGUGAAGCCGGAGGUGGUGGAUGGCCAGCACGCAGAGUGCGAAGGGGCCAUGGUGAGCAAGCUAUCCAACGUCUCCUGGCCCAAAGGCACCUUUGUGGAGACAGUAAAGGAAUGGCAGAAGCAGUGGUUCUACAUCACAGAACCUCGUGGCACCACCUGGGCCGCAGCUGCCGAAUUCCGCUCAAGUGCUCCCAUGCAACUCACCUCCUGGGUCGAGAAGAGUCCGGACUGGUGUUCACCUGACGAGCUGAUAGCACUACAGAUGCGCGUUCAAAGCAUGGUGACCAAGGACGUCAAGCUCGUUGACAUUAUCCAAGUGAUGCUAGUCUGCUGGAUUCUUCCGUGCCAGCGUCGAAGCCGCCCUUUAUGGGAGUUCAAUUUGAAGAAGCAUCAGACCCUGAAAAGGCUCUUCGAUACUUCUCACAAAGGGGCCUGGAAGUUGCUCUUUAAGGGCAACGAGAAGCCACCGGCCACGGACUCAGACCGUGGUCACAAUUGUAACCGCCCCGCCAGUGAGGUAUGUUACUUUUGACGUAUUCCCAACUUACAUGUUUCGAGGAUGAUGUCUGAGAUCUUAGUAUUGCUCCCUCGGGACUGGGUGGAGAGGGUGAAGCGGAUCCAGUGUCCGGCUCGAUUGCCGAAGAACCAGUCAUCCCGCGCCUAGCAAAGAUGCUGGUGCCAGCGCCAUAUACGGCGCCGAGAAGAAGGCCAAGAAGAAGGCCAAGGGGGCCGAGAGUGGCCCUCGUCACAAGGGCACUUUGGACGCGAUGUCCGAAGACGAGGCCCAUUCCUCUGUCCCUAAGGACAAUGACGAGGAAGAAGAGGAGGAGGAGGAAAACAACCCUCCACCCGAGGAGAAGAAGAAGAGGGUGGCCUCAGCACAUCUGGAGGCGAAAGCGCCCCAAAAGGGGAAGGGAGCCCCAGCGGUCAACACCGCGUGGGACAUUGACAGUAGUCCAGAAUGUCGCCCCCGUGCUAGGCCUCAGGCCGCAUCGUAAGAGCAUGGCUUAUUUAUGCGCACAUCCAGUCCUUUCUUUUUAUUAUUCUAACAUGGUUAAUCCACACUAUUGCAGUCCGACCUAUGACCUUAUCCAGCGAUCCUCAUCUGGAAGUUCGUUGGCUCCAUCGGAGAUGGCGAGCAUGUCGCCACCGCCUGCUUACUCCCCCGGGGCCAGGGACGACAUCAAAGUGUUAUCCCGGAGGACCGUUCCGAAGGUAGGAUCCUAGGAUGGUGUCCGGGAGGCGCCACAAGGCGGGACCUCCACUGCCGGACACAUAGGGGAGCCAAUCCCCAUGGAGACUGGCAAAGAGGGCCGUAUCCAGUUCGGCCCUCAGCUGAAUACGAUUCCGGAGAUCCAUAUGGCUCCGGAGUCGGGUGAGCAGCCCCCUUUGAAGGAGGGGGUGCGUCGCCUCCACCAGUGGCUCCUGUCCAUCCAGGAGCGCCAGAUGACCUGAUGAGGGUGCUACGAAGCGCCUCUGUUGUGGAUGAGCACCAUAUCCUUAUGGGUGCGGUGAUCGAGAAGGUUCAGUCUGCCAAGAGCGGACUGAAUGAAGCCUGCAGCAGCCUGUUAAUAGGUUUCGAGGUAAGAAAGAGAAAAACCAUGUAUAGUCCGUAGCCCUUGAGACGGUGUCCGGUGUUCGGCGAGGAGAACUGGACAGGGGAUCAAUCCUUAAUUAUAAGAGGCUGACUGAAUAUGUAUCGAUAAGCAGGCGUCCCUGUUGGCCGCGACCUCGCAUGCUGCUAAGGUCUCCGAGCUGAAGCGGAGGCUGGAGCGGACCGAGAACGAGCUCGGCGAGGUUAAGGUUCGGCUCCAAGAGAAGCAAGGUGAGGAACGACUUGCUAUAUGUUCGGGAAAAGGAUAAGCAUUGUAUAUUGACAGCAGUAUUGUGAUAUGUGCAGAAGCUGUGACCGAGGUCGAGGCCCUGAGGAAGGCCCUGGGCGAGGCCGAGGAGCAGGCUGUCCAGCAGCAAACCGCCCGUAAGAAGCUAAAGGCCUGGGUCAAAGAAGUCCAUCAGGAGCUCCAGGAUGCGGUGAAAAAAUGCGAGGCCUUGGAGCAUGAUGCGUCGGUUCAAGGGACCGAACUUGCCAAGGCUCAUCAGAGCAUGGAGACCGCACAGAAUGAGGCCCAAGCCGCCCUCCAGGAGAUCCAAGAGGCCAAGAAGAUCACAGUGGGUGAGGCAUUUAAGAUGCAAAUCAAGUAUGCAAAGAAGUAGUACCUUUUACUAACCCGGGUUCGGAGUUCCCCAGGGGCUUUUGCGGAUUUGCCACGCAGUGUAUCAGACGCCGUGGAGUUCUAUCGAGCCGAAGGAGGGGGUUCUUCGGAGAGGCUCUUCUGGACUCUGGUCGCAGUAUGCGGCACCAGAGCAUCCCGUGUCCUAACACUGAUCAGUUGAAACAGUUGGUGGAUCUGCAUAGGGUGGCCGAACUAGCCAUUAAGGAUUUGAUAAUCCGGUUGUGGCCAGCCGAAGCUAUGCCUAGCAGCUACUUUGGACUCAUGAGGCAGAUGGUGAAUGCUUGUCCUCGGCUGGACGUUAUCAAGCGCUCCAUCCGUAUUGAAGGUGCCCGUAUGGCCUUCGCUCACUGCAAGAUGUGGUGGGCGAAGAUGAACGCUGUUGAAGUCGCCAGCGGGCCGCCAGAGGGCAAGGAGCACCGCACACCCGAGCGAUAUUUCGAGGAUGUCGUAGAAGGGUCUCGACUUGUAGCGGCACAAUGUUCACAGGACAUUGUAUUUGAAUGAAUGUAUUCAUGCUGCCUUUGUCUUGUAUUAUGGGAACAAAGCCAGUUUUUGUAAAGUAAUUAUGCUUUGAAUUGUUUCCUCCUGUACGGCCGUGUUGUGUGUAAUCUGAGGGUUGGCCAGUCGUCAACUUCUGCCCUCACAUAGAUAGUACGGAGGUGUUCGGGAUGGAAUCUAAACAAACUUGAUCCAAUUACAUGGUCCUUGAAGGAGUUGUUUAGCGCAAGUACAAGGCAAUCAGACUUUAUGGAUUUAACGCCCUCACUUAGCCAUAGGAGUUUUAUAAUAAAGCAUGGGCGCAGCCCCUGGUUUAAGCCAGAGUACUGUCAGCAUCUGAUCGGGAAGUGCCGAUCUCUCGCGUAACACGGAAAAAAUCUCCAACGAGUUGUAACCCUCGAGUAGCUGACUGGCUCUUGCCACAUCAUGACAGUCAGUUUUCGGCUUUCUCUACUGAGGUGCUCGUGUGGUCAAAGCAAGGGCAAAAUUGCAGUAGUUCUCCCUUUACUACCCUAGCCGAUGGAGCGGAACGUAGGGUAGCAAGCACAGGAGCCGGGCAACCCAACUAUUGACCAAAGACAUGAUUCGGAGCCAAUGCAUAUAAUGCUAAAUUCGGGGUGCCGAACUUAUAUAUAAGAAGUGUUCGGACUGUGCUGCCAUAUUGUGGGGCGACAGGUAGCCCCUGGCGAAUAUGAAACGUAAAAGGGUGUCGAUGCAGCAAAUAGGCAUAUCGAAAUAAAACGAAGUAAGAAGCGAAAACCACAGAAGCUCGGCCACGAACCAUUUUUAUUAUAAUUGGAUGGAUACGUCAAGGCGUAUCUUGUACAGAUGGUGCAAGAAGUAUCCAGCCAUUUAACAUGCUGGAAUCAAUAGGGCGCAGCGUGCGGGUCCUGAGAAAUAAGUAUGAAUACCAUCAAGAAGAACGUAUAAAGGUUACCCUACACACCUGUGCCGCUUGCCUCCGUUGUAUUCCAGUCCUUUGAAAGGACUUGACAUCAGGCCCGCGGAAAAGGGUGCCUGAAACAAGAAAAAGAAGUAAAGGUAUGUGUGUCCGGGAUUGGUCUGGCCGAAUUAUAGACCCCGGGUUAUCUCGUGCCUCCGUCGGUGUCCAUGGAAUUUUGAGUGCGUAAUUGUGUACGUGUGGUAUGAAUGCCACUACCUCAUUGGGGCUGGGACGGAGGCCGAAUUGCUAGUCGAGCUCUUGACGAGCUGUGCUGUCCUGUUGCAGUGUAGUCCAGACCCUCUUGAUGGUGUCCAGGGGCUCGGCAGCUGGAUUAUAAUGCUGCUUGAGAAGGCCGCUUUGUACUUCUGCUGCUAGGGCGGUGGUUUGCUCCUCUGUUCGGAGGGAACGUUCCGUAUUGCCAUUGACUGUUAUGACGCCGCGUGGACCGAGCAUCUUGAGCUUGAGAUAAGCAUAGUGUGGCACUGCGUUAAAUCUAGCAAACGCGGUUCGUCCGAGCAGUGCGUGGUAGCCGCUGCGGAAGGGGACGAUAUCGAAGAUUAACUCUUCACUUUGGAAGCUGUCCGGAGAACCAAAAACCACCUCCAGCAUGAUUGAGCCCAUACAACGGGCCUCUACACCUGGUAUGACUCCUUUAAAGGUAGUCUUUGUUGGUUUGAUUCGUGAGGGAUUAAUGCCCAUCUUCCGUACUGUAUCCUGGUACAGCGGGUUGAGGCUGCUUCCACCAUCCAUCAGGACUCGUGUUAGGUGGACGAUGAUUGGGUCAAGGACCAGUGCGGCCGACCCGCCGUGGCGGAUACUAGUCGGAUGAUCUCGUUGAUCGAAGGUGAUCGGAAAUGACGACCAUGGAUUGAACUUUGGGGCGACUGGCUCUACCGCGUAGACGUCCUUGAGUGCUCGUCUGCGCUCCUUUCUGGGGAUGUGCGUGGCGUAUAUCAUGUUCACCGUUUUGACUUGGGGGGAUUUCUUCUGUCCCUCGGUGUUCGGCUGCCGGGGCUCUUCAUCCUCGUCCUCACUUUGUGAUCCCUUUUCUUUGUUUUCAGCAUUCAACUUGCCAGCCUGCUUGAAGACCCAACACUCCCAGUUGGUAUGAUUGGCUUGCUUAUCCGGGCAGCCAUGAAUUUGGCACGGACGGUCGAGUAUGCAGUCCAGGCUAGAAGGUCCUUCGUUGUUUCUUUUGUAGGGUUCCUUCCGUUGGCCGGACUUGGAGCCACUGAAUCCGGUGUUGACUGUGGUGUCCUCGGUGUUGUCAGCGUGCUUCGGUGUUUGUGUCUAUUGCGCCGGAGCUUUCCGGUGCUGAUCUUGGCCUCGGUGGGGCCUGCCUCGUUGGCUGUGUUUUUGCUACGAGCCAGCCAGCUAUCCUCACCUGUCCAAAAGCGGGUCAUGAGUGCCGUAAGGGCUGCCAUUGACUUCGGCUUUACUUGUCCGAAGUGGCAUGCUAGCCAUUCGUCACGGAUGCUGUGCUUGAAGGCUGCUAGGGCCUCGGCAUCCGGACAGUCAACAAUCUGGUUCUUUUUGGUUAGGAACCUAGUCCAGAAUUUUCUGGCUGAUUCUCCGGGUUGUUGAACUAUGUGGCUUAGGUCAUCGGCAUCUGGUGGCCGGACAUAAGUUCCUUGGAAGUUGUCGAGGAAAGCCUCUUCCAAGUCCUCCCAGCUGCCGAUGGAGUUCUCAGGCAGGCUAUUUAACCAGUGCCGAGCUGGUCCUUUGAGCUUUAAUGGGAGGUAUUUGAUGGCGUGGAGGUCGUCUCCUCGGGCCAUGUGGAUGUGGAGAAUGAAAUCCUCGAUCCAUACUGCAGGAUCGGUUGUGCUGUCGUAUGAUUCGAUAUUGACGGGCUUGAACCCCUCGGGGAAUUCAUGAUCCAGUACUUCAUCUGUGAAGCAGAGCGGGUGUGCGGCGCCUCUAUAUCGGGCCGCAUCGUGGCGGAGCUCUGAAGGAGUCCGUCUGUGGCAUUCGGCCCGAGCGUGGUUAGGUUUGUCACGUCCGAAUAGGUAGUCGUCGUUGUGCCUCAAGGCACAUCCUCGUGAUCCACAGAUCGAUCUUGUGUGUCCUGCUUUACUAUCCAGGGUCUGUCGGAGGUCACACAUAUGACUCUGGACUCUUCCGUCCCUAUUUUGACGGGGUGGUGGGGCGGUCUGUUGUUCGGCCUGAGUUGUCGCUUUAUCCCGACCGUGGGGUGGCCGUUCCGCCGCCCUGCCCCGACCAUGUGGUGGUCGAUCCGCAUUACGCGAGGGAGAUAUGUGCUCCGACGCCUCCUCAUCGAAUUGAGGUAGCAGUCUGCAUUUCAGGUAGCUCUUGGCUGGGUGGUUGAGGUCGUAUUCCUCGGCUGUCAGGACAUCAGUCCAUCUGUCGACGAGCAGGUCUUGUUCAGCUUGAAGUUGUUGUUGUUUCUUUUUCAGGCUCCUUGCAGUGGCUAUGAGCUGAAGCUUAAAGCCCUCCUGCUCGAGAGGAUCCUCAGGCACGAUGAAGUCUUCGUUGCCAAGGCUUGUCUCCUCCUCGGAGGAUGGACGGUAACUAUCAUCCUCCGAGUCAUCUUCUAUGGCAUGUUCGUCAGGGUUGUCUUGCCUGUUAUCGUGUUCCAGUUUGGAUGUAGCCCCGACAGGGUCUUCAUUGUUUUCGACAUCGCCAGUAGUACUAUUUUAUCCGGUGCCAGUGUUGCCGUCCUUUGAGCGGUGGGGCUUGGGGCGGCGCUUGGGUCGCCGGCGCUUGGACUAUGUCUCGGAGGUUUUAUUCGCAUCUGGCUCUUCUUUGUCGUUGCCAGAUCCUUUAGGUGUAUCAACCAUGUACACGUCAUACGAAGAGGUAGUUGUCCAACGUCCAGUGAGUGGCGGGUCUUGGCCUUGCUCCUUGUCGGCAUCAUCGUCCAUAUUGUCGAUGUCUUCGGAGCCAUAGUCAAGCACGUCGGUUAAGUCAUCGACGGUGGCUAUGAAGUGGUUGGCGGGUAGGAAGCAAGAUUCCUCAUCAUCCGUCUCUAGCUCGAACCGGACAUAGUUCGGUUGUGAGUCCUUCUCCAAGGACAAAUUCUUUAAAGAUUUUAGCACGUCACCCAAAGGCGAGUGCUGGAAAAUGUCAACGGCACUAAACUUGAAGAUCGAUAACCGAUCUAGCUCGGUGUCCGCGGGCGUACACAAUCCAGAACUCAUAGCCGGAGAUGAGUCUGAAGUUCCGUUAAAGCGAAUAUUGCAGGGCGUCGAGUCCAUGUGCGGCUCCAACACCGCGGACUCUGCAGACUCGCAUGGCUCGAUCUGCUUCGGCUCUAAGGUCGUUGCAACCACAGGGACCAUCUCCUGGGUGUGAUUCGAUGACAGAUUUAAGUCACGUUCAUCGGGAUGAGGGGGAGCGAUCGCCGUGGGUUCAAAUCCCUCGAAGAUCAAGUCUCUAUGGAUAUCCACGACGUAGUUCAAGCUUCUGAAUUUAACCUGAUGGCCAGGGGUGUAGCUGUAGAUCUGCUCCAUAUGGCCAAGCGAGUUGGCCCGCAGUACGAAGCCGCCGAAUACAAAGAUCUGCCCGGGGAGGAAGGUUCCUCUUUGGACAACAUCAUUAUUGACGAUUGAAGGGGCCAUCGAACCUUUUGUCGACGGCACAGCGGAACUCUCAAUGAAAGCACCAAUGUCGGUGUCAAAACUGGCGGACCUUGGGUAGAGGGUCCCGAACUAUGCGUCUAGGAUCGAUGGUAACAGGAGACGGGGGACACGAUGUUUACCAGGUUCGAGCCUCUCUAUGGAGGUAAUACCCUACUUCCUGCUUGAUUGAUCUUGAUGAAUAUGAGUAUUACAAGAGUUGAUCUACCACGAGAUCAUAAUGGCUAAACCCUAGAAGUCUAGCCUAUGAAUAUGGUAAUGAGUAUAUGUCGUGUCCUUUCUGGACUAUCCCCUUCGGUUUAUAUAGACACCGAGGGAUCUAGGGUUUACAUGGAGUCGGUUACAUAAGAAGGAAUCUUCGGUCGCCAAGCUUGCCUUCCACGCCAAGUAGAGUCCAAUCCGGACACGGUGCAGUCUUCGGCCUUCAUGUCUUCACAGCCCAUCAGUCCGGCCCAUGGAUAACAGGCCGGACGCGCGAGGACCCCUUAGUCCUGGACUCCCUUAGUGGAGGGGUAUAUAUAGCCCCCACACAAAAUCCAACCGUUACACACAUUUGACUCAUCUCGGUGGCACCGAAUAGUUAAACUCGAUGGCACUAAUCAGUUAAAAAAUGUGAAAAUUAGGAAUCUCGGUAAGUCUCUUUACUCGUUCCGUAAUGCAUCAUCCCGCAACUAACUUAUUGGUCACAAUGAUUGCAAGGCUUAUAGUGAUGUGCAUUACCGAGAGGGCCUAGAGAUACCUCUCCGAUACUCGGAGUGAAAAAUCCUAAUAUCGAUCUAUGCCAACUCAACAAACACCUUUGCAGACACCUGUAGAGCACCUUUAUAAUCACCCAGUUAUGUUGUGACGUUUCGUAGCACACAAAGUGUUCCUCCGGAAUUCGGGAGUUUCAUAAUCUCAUAGUCAUAGGAACAUGUAUAAGUCAUGAAGAAAGCAAUAGCAACAAACUAAAUUAUCAUCAUGCUAAGCUAAUGGAUGGGUCAAGUUAAUCACAUCAUUCUCUAAUGAUGUGAUCCCAUUAAUCAAAUGACAACUCAUGUCUAUGGCUAGGAAACUUAACCAUCUUUGAUUCAACGAGCUAGUCAAGUAGAGGCAUACUAGUGAGACUCUGUUUGUCCAUGUAUUCACACAUGUACUAAGUUUCCGGUUAAUACAAUUCUAGCAUGAAUAAUAAACAUUUAUCAUGAUAUAAGGAAAUAUAAAUAACAACUUUAUUAUUGCCUCUAGGGCAUAUUUCCUCCAGUCUCCCACUUGCACUAGAGUCAAUAAUCUAGUUCACAUCGUUAUGUGAUUUGACACCAAUAGUUCACAUCUUUAUGUGAUUAGUUCAUAUCUCCAUGUGACUAACACCCAAAGGGUUUACUAGAGUUGAUAAUCUAGUUCACAUUGCUAUGGGAUUAACACCCAAAGAGUGAUCAUGUUUUGCCUGUGAGAGAAAUUUAGUCAACGGGUCUGCCACAUUCAGAGUCGUAUGUAUUUUGCAAAUAUUCUAUGUCUACAAUGCUUUGCAUGGAGCUACUCUAGCUAAUUGCUCCCACUUUCAAUAUGUAUCUAGAUCGAGACUUAGAGUCAUCCAGAUCGGUGUCAAAGCUUGCAUCGACAUAACUCUUUACGACGAACUCUUUGUCACCUCCAUAACCAAGAAACAUUUCCUUAUUCCACUAAGGAUAUUUUUGACCGUUGUCCAGUGAUCCACUCCUGGAUCACUAUUGUACCCUCUUGCCAAACUUAUGGUGAGGUACACAAUAGGUCUGGUACACAUCAUGACAUACUUUAUAGAACCUAUGACUGAGGCAUAGGGAAUGACUUUUCAUUCUCUUUCUAUUUUCUGUCAUGGUCGGGUUUUGAGUCUUUACUCAACUUCACACCUUGCAACACAGGCAAGAACUCCUUCUUUGACUGUUCCAUUUUGAACUACUUCAAAAUCUUGUCAAGGUAUGUACUCAUUGAAAAUAUAUCAAGCGUGUUGAUCUAUCUCUAUAGAUCUUGAUGCUCAAUAUGUAAGUAGCUUCACCGAGGUCUUUCUUUGAAAAACUCCUUUCAAACACUCCUUUAUGCUUUCCAGAAAAUUCUACAUUAUUUCCGAUCAACAAUAUGUCAUUCACAUAUACUUAUCAGAAAUGAUGUAGUGCUCCCACUCACUUUCUUGUAAAUACAAGCUUCACCGCAAGUCUGUAUAAAGCCAUAUGCUUUGAUCACUUUAUCAAAGCAUAUAUUCCAACUCCGAGAUGCUUGCACCAGUCCAUAAAUGGAUUGCUGGAGCUUGCACACUUUGUUAGCACCUUUUGGAUUGACGAAACCUUAUGGUUGCAUCAUAUACAACUCUUCUUUAAGAUGUCAAUUAAGGAAUGCAGUUUUCACAUCCAUUUGCCAAAUUUCAUAAUCAUAAAAUGCGGCAAUUGCUAACAUGAUUCAGGCGGACUUAAGCAUCGCUACGGGUGAGAAGGUCUCACCGUAGUCAACUCCUUGAACUUGUCGAAAACCUUUUGCAACUAGUUGAGCUUUGUAGACAGUAAUAUUACCGUCAGCGUCAGUCUUCUUCUUGAAGAACCAUUUAAUCUCUAUGGCCUGCCGACCAUCGUGCAAGUCAACCAAAGUCCAUACUUUGUUCUCAUACAUGGAUCCCAUCUCAGAUUUCAUGGCUUCAAGCCAUUUUGCGGAGUCUGGGCUCAUCAUCGCUUCCUCAUAGUUCGUAGGUUCGUCAUGGUCAAGUAACAUGACCUCCAGAAUAGGAUUAUUGUUCCAAUCUGGUGUGGAUCUCACUCUGGUUGACCUACGAGGUUCAGUAGUAACUUGAUCUGAAGUUACAUGAUCAUCAUCAUUAGCUUCCUCACUAAUUGGUGUAGGAGUCAUAGGAAUAGAUUUCUGUGAUGAACUACUUUCCAAUAAGGGAGCAGGUACAGUUACCUCAUCAAGUUCUACUUUCCUCCCACUCACUUCUUUAGAGAGAAACUCCUUCACUAGAGAGGAUCCAUUCUUAGCAACGAAUGUCUUGCCUUUGGAUCUGUGAUAGAAGGUGUACCCAACUGUCUCCUUUGGGUAUCAUAUGAAGACACAUCUCUCCGAUUUGGGUUUGAGCUUAUCAAGAUGAAACUUUUUCACAUAAGCAUCGCAACCCCAAACUUUAAGAAAUGACAGCUUUGGUUUCUUGCCAAACCAUAGUUCAUACGAUGUCAUCUCAACGGAUUUAGAUGGUGCCCUAUUUAACAUGAAUGCAGCUCUCUCUAAUGCAUAACCCCAAAACAAUAGCGGUAAAUCAGUAAGAGACAUCAUAGAUCACACCAUAUCUAGUAAGGGAAAACUUUGUUUUUGCCACUCUGGUUUUUGCCCACUUUGCUUAUGCCACUCUAGAAAUUGACAUUUCACUUUUGCCACUCUUAGCUUUUGACAAUAUAUCACUUUUGUCAUUUAGUGGCAAAAGCAAAACUUUCAAAGUGGCAAUUGUGAUACAUUGUCAAAAGCUAAGAGUGGCAAAAGUGAAAUGAAAAAUUAUCGGUUUUGCCACGGAAUGGCAUUUGUGAUGUAUUGUCAAAAGCAAAGAGUGGCAAAAGUGAGAUGUACAAUUCUAGAGUGGCAUAAGCAAAAUUGGCAAAAGCUAGAGUGGCAAAAAUAAAGUUUUCCCAUCUAGUAAAGUGCGACUACGACGUUCGGACACACCGUUACGCUGUAGUGUUCCAGGUGGUGUGAGUUGCGAAACUAUUCCGCAUUGUUUCAAAUGAAGACCAAACUCGUAACUCAAAUAUUCUCCUCCACGAUCAGAUCGUAGAAACUUUAUUUUCUUGUUACGAUGAUUUUCCACUUCACUCUAAAAUUCUUUGAACUUUUCAAAUAUUUCAGACUUAUGUUUCAUCAAGUAGAUAUACCCAUAUCUGCUCAAAUCACCUGUGAAGGUCAGAAAAUAAUGAUACCCGCCAUGAGCCUCAGCAAUUAUCGGACCCCAUACAUUAGUAUGUAUUAUUUCCAAUAAGUCAGUUGCUCGCUCCAUUGUUUCGGAGAACGGAGUCUUAGUCAUCUUGCCUGUGAGGCAUGGUUCGCAAGCAUCAAGUGAUUCAUAAUCAAGUGAUUCCAAAAGCCCAUCAGCAUGGAGUUUCUUCAUGCGCUUUACAUCAAUAUGACCUAAACGGCAGUGCCGCAAAUAAGUUGCACUAUCAUUAUUAAUUUUUCAUCUUUUGGCUUCAAUAUUAUAAAUAUGUGUAUCACUAUGAUCGAGAUUCAAUAAACCAUCCACCUUGUGUGUAUGACCACAGAAGGUUUUAUUCAUGUAAACAGAAUAACAAUUAUUCUUUGACUUAAAUGAAUAGCUGUAUUGCAAUAUAUAGGAUCCAAUCAUAUUAUGCUCAACACAAACACCAAAUAACAUUUAUUUUAGGUUCAAUACUAAUCCCGAAGGUAAAGGGAGUGUGCGAUGAUGAUCUUAUCAACCUUGGAAUUACUUCCAACACACAUCGUCACCUCGCCCUCAACAAGUCUUUGUUUAUUUUUCAACUCCCGUUUCGAGUUACUACUCUUAGCAACUGAACCAGUAUCAAAUACUAAGGGGUUGCUAUAAACACUAGUAAAGUACACAUCAAUAACAUGUAUAUCGAAUAUACUUUUGUUCACUUUGCCAUCCUUCUUAUCUGCCAAGUAUCUAGGGCAGUUCCACUUCCAGUGACCAUUUCCUUUGCAGUAGAAGCACUUAGCUCUAGGCUUGGGUCUAGCUUUGGGCUUCUUCAUGGGAGUGACAACUUGCUUGCCAUUCUUCUUGAAGUUCCCUUUCUUUCCCUUUCCCUUUUACUUGAAACUAGUGGUCUUGUCAACCAUAAACAUUUGAUGCUUUUCUUGAUUUCUACCUUCGUCGAUUUCAGCAUUACAAAGAGCUCGGGAAUCGUUUUCGUCAUCCCUUGCAUAUUAUAGUUCAUCAUGAAGUUCUAGUAACUUGGUGAUAGUGACUAGAGAACUCUGUCAAUUACUAUCUUAUUUGGAAGAUUAACUCCCACUUGAUUCAAGCAAUUGUAGUACCCAGACAAUCUGGGCACAUGCUCACUGGUUGAGCUAUUCUCCUCCAUCUUGUAGGCAAAGUAUUGUCAGAGGUCUCAUACCUCUCGACACGGGCAUGAGUAUGAAAUACCAAUUUCAACUCUUGGAACAUCUCAUAUGCUCCAUGUCGUUCAAAACAAUUUGAAGUCCCGGUUCUAAUCCGUAAAGCAUGGUGCACUAAACUAUCAAGUAGUCAUCAUACUGAGCUUGCCAAACGUUCAUAACGUCUGCAUCUGCUCCUCCAAUCGGUCUGUCACCUAGCGGUGCAUCAAGGACAUAAUUCUUCUAUGCAACAAUGAGGAUAAUCCUCAGAUCACAGAUCCAAUCCGCAUCAUUGCUACUAUCAUCUUUCAACAUAGUUUUCUCUAGGAACAUAUCAUCAAUAAAACGGGGAAGCUAUACGCGAGCAAUUGAUCUACAACAUAGAUAUGCAAAUACUAUCAGGACUAAGUUCAUGAUAAAUUUAAGUUCGAUUAAUCAUAUUACUAAAGAACUCCCACUUAGAUAGACAUCUCUCUAAUCUUCUAAGUGAUCAUGUGAUCCAUAUCAACAAAACCAUGUCUGAUCAUCACGUGAGAUGGAGUAGUUUUCAACGGUGAACAUCACUAUGUUGAUCAUAUCUACUAUAUGAUUCACGCUCGACCUUUUGGUCUCUAGUGUUUCGAGGCCAUAUCUGCAUAUGCUAGGCUCGUCAAGUUUAACCCGAAUAUUCUGCGUGUGCAAAACUGGCUUGCACCCAUUGUAUGUGAACGUAGAGCUUACCACACCCGAUCAUCACGUGGUGUCUUGGCACGACGAACUGCCACAACGGUGCAUACUUAGGGAGAACACUUAUACUUUGAAAUUUAGUGAGAGAUCAUCUUAUAAUGCUACCGCCGAACUAAGCAAAAUAAGAUGCAUAUAGGAUAAACAUCACAUGAAAUCAAAAUAUGUGACAUGAUAUGGCCAUGAUCAUCUUGCGCCUUUGAUAUCCAUCUCCAAAGUACCGUCAUGAUCUCUAUUGUCACCGGCAUGACACCAUGAUCUCCAUCAUCUUGAUCUCUAUCAACGUGUCAUCACAUGGUUGUCUCGCCAACUAUUACUCUUGCAACUAUUGCUAUCGCAUAGCGAUAAAGUAAAACAAUUAUUUGGCACUUGCAUCUUAUGCAAUAAAGAGACAACCAUAAGGCUCCUGCUAGUUGCCGAUAACUUAAACAAAACAUGAUCAUCUCAUACAACAAUUUAUAUCUCAUCACGUCUUGACCAUAUCACAUCACAACAUGCCCUGCAAAAACAAGUUAGACGUCCUCUACUUUGUUGUUGCAAGUUUUACAUGGCUGCUAUGGGCUGAGCAAGAACCGUUCUUACCUACGCAUCAAAAACCACAACGCGCUAUAGUGAUUGCUUUUUGAUCUUCAGAAAGAACCCUGUUCAUUGAAUCCGACUCAACUAAAGCUGGAGAAACAGACACCCACUAGCCACCUGUGUGCGAAGCACGUCGGUAGAACCAGUCUUGCGUAAGCGUACGCGUAAUGUCGGUCUGGGCCACUUCAUCCAACAAUGCCGCUGAAUCAAGAAUCAACUAGUGACGGCAAGCAAUAUGUAUAUACCCACGCCCAUAACUCCUUUGUGUUCCACUAAUGCAUAUAACAUCUAUGCAUAAACCUGGCUCGGAUGCCACUGUUGGGGAACGCAGUAAUUUCAAAAAAAAUUCUUACGCACACGCAAGAUCAUGGUGAUGCAUAGCAACGAGAGGGGAGAGCUUCGUCCACGUACCCUCGUAGACCGUAAGCGGAAGCGUUAUGAGAACGCGGUUGAUGUAGUCGUACUUCUUCAUGAUCCGAUCGAUCCAAGUACCGAACGUACGACACCUCCGAGUUCAGCACACGUUCAGCUCGGUGAUGUCCCACGAACCCCGAUCCAGCAGAGCUUCGAGGGAGAGCUUCGUCAGCACGAUAGGGUGAUGACGGUGAUGAUGAUGCUACCGACGCAGGGCUUCGCCUAAGCACCGCUACGAUAUGACCGAGGUGGAUUAUGGUGGAGGGGGGCACCGCACAUAGCUAAAAGAUCAAUUGAUCAACUUGUGUGUCCAUGGGGUGCCCCCCUCCCCCGUAUAUAAAGGAGAGGAUGAGGGGGAGGGCCGGCCCUCUACUAUGGCGCGCCCUGGGGAGUCCUACUCCCACCGGGAGUAGGAUUCCCCCCUUCCAUGUAGUAGGAGUAGGAGAGAAGGAAAGGGAAAAGAGAAGAGAAGGAAGGAGGGGGCUCCGCCCCUCUCCCUAGUACAAUUCGGACUAAGCCUUGCGGGGCGCGCAGCCUCCCCUCUCUCUUUCCCCUAAAGCCCAAUAAGGCCCAUAUACUCCCCGACGAAUUCCCGUAACUCUCCGGUACUCCGAUAAAUACCCGAACCACUCAGAACCUUUCUGAUGUCUGAAUUGUUGGGGAACGUUGCAGAAAACAAAAAAUUUCCUACGGUUUCACCAAGAUCCAUCUAGGAGUUCAUCUAGCAACGAGUGGUCGUAUUGCAUCUACAUACCUUUGUAGAUCGCGCGCGGAAGCGUUCAAGAGAACGGGGUUGAUGGAGUCGUACUCGUCGUGAUCCAAAUCACCGAUGGUCCUAGCGCCAAACGGACGGCACCUCCGCGUUCAACACACGUACGGAGCAGCGACGUCUCCUCCUUCUUGAUCCAGCAAGGGGGGAGGAGAGGUUGAUUGAGAUCCAGCAGCACGACGGUGUGGUGGUGGAAGUAGCGGGAUUUCAACAGGGCUUCGCCAAGCGCUGCGGGAGGAGGGAGAUGUGUCACGGGAGGGAGAGGGAGGCGCCAGGGCUUAGGUGUGGCUACCCUCCCUUCCCCCCACUAUAUAUAGGGCCAAUGGAGAGGGGGGUGCGCAGCCUUGGCCCUUCCUCCAAGGAAGGGUGCGGCCAGGGAGGAGUCCAUCCUCCCCAAGGCACCUAGGAGGUGCCUUCCCCCUUUCGGACUCUUCCUUUCCCUUAUCUCUUGGCGCAUGGGCCUCUUGGGGCUGGUGCCCUUGGCCCAUAUAGGCCAAGGCACACACCCCUACAGCCCAUGUGGCCCCCCGGGGCAGGUGGACCCCCUUGGUGGACCCCCGGACCCCUUUCGGCAUUCCCGGUACAAUACCGAUAAUGCGCGAAACUUUUCCGGCGACCAAAACAAGACUUCCCAUAUAUAAAUCUUUACCUCUGGACCAUUCCGGAACUCCUCGUGACGUCCGGGAUCUCAUCCGGGACUCCGAACAACAUUCGGGUUACUGCAUAUACAUAUCCCUACAACCCUAGCAUCACCGAACCUUAAGUGUGUAGACCCUACGGGUUCGGGAGACAUGUAGACAUGACCGAGAUCGCUCUCCGGUCAAUAACCAACAGCGGGAUCUGGAUACCCAUGUUGGCUCCCACAUGCUCCUCGAUGAUCUCAUCGGAUGAACCACGAUGUCGAGGAUUCAAGCAACCCCGUAUACAAUUCCCUUUGUCAAUCGGUAUGUUACUUGCCCGAGAUCCGAUCGUCGGUAUCCCAAUACCUCGUUCAAUCUCGUUACCGGCAAGUCACUUUACUCGUACCGUAAUGCAUGAUCCCGUGAUCAGACACUUGGUCACUUUGAGCUCAUUAUGAUGAUGCAUUACCGAGUGGGCCCAGUGAUACCUCUCUGUCAUACGGAGUGACAAAUCCCAGUCUUGAUCCGUGUCAACCCAACAGACACUUUCGGAGAUACCCGUAGUAUACCUUUAUAGUCACCCAGUUACGUUGUGACGUUUGGUACACCCAAAGCACUCCUACGGUAUCCGGGAGUUACACGAUCUCAUGGUCUAAGGAAAGGAUACUUGACAUUAGAAAAACUCUAGCAAACGAACUAUACGAUCUUAUGCUAUGUUAGGAUUGGGUCUUGUCCAUCACAUCAUUCUCCUAAUGAUGUGAUCUCGUUAUCAAUGACAUCCAAUGUCCAUAGUCAGGAAACCAUGACUAUCUGUUGAUCAAUGAGCUAGUCAACUAGAGGCUUACUAGGGACAUGUUGGUGUCUAUUAUUCACACAUGUAUUAUGAUUUCCGGAUAACACAAUUAUAGCAUGAAUAAAGACAAUUAUCAUGAACAAGGAAAUAUAAUAAUAAUGCUUUUAUUAUUGCCUCUAGGGCAUAUUUCCAACAGUCUCCCACUUGCACUAGAGUCAAUAAUCUAGUUACAUUGUGAUGAAUCGAACACCCAUGGAAUUCUGGUGUUGAUCAUGUUUUGCUCUAGGGAGAGGUUUAGUCAACGGAUCUGCUACAUUCAGGUCCGUAUGUACUUUACAAAUAUCUAUGUCUCCAUCUUGAACAUUUUCACGAAUGGAGUUGAAGCGACGCUUGAUGUGCUUUGUCUUCUUGUGAAACAUGGGCUCCUUGGCAAGAGCAAUAGCUCCAGUGUUGUCACAGAAGAGUUUGAUUGGCCCCGACGCAUUGGGUAUGACUCCUAGGUCGGUGAUGAACUCCUUCACCCAAAUUGCUUCAUGCGAUGCCUCCGAGGCUGCCAUGUACUCCGCUUCACAUGUAGAUCCCGCCACGACGCUCUGCUUGCAACUGCACCAGCUUACUGCCCCACCAUUCAAAAUAUACACGUAUCCAGUUUGUGACUUAGAGUCAUCCAGAUCUGUGUCGAAGCUAGCGUCGACGUAACCUUUUACGACGAGCUCUUCGUCACCUCCAUAAACAAGAAACAUUUCCUUAGUCCUUUUCAGGUACUUCAGGAUAUUCUUGACCGUUGUCCAGUGUUCCUUGCCGGGAUUACUUUGGUACCUUCCUACCAAACUUACGGCAAGGUUUACAUCAGGUCUGGUACACAGCAUGGCAUACAUAAUAGAACCUAUGGCUGAGGCAUAGGGGAUGACACUCAUCUCUUCUAUAUCUUCUGCCGUGGUCGGACAUUGAGCUGAGCUCAAUUUCACACCUUGUAACACAGGCAAGAACCCCUUCUUAGACUGAUCCAUAUUGAAUUUCUUCAAUAUCUUAUCAAGGUAUGUGCUUUGUGAAAGACCUAUGAGGCGUCUUGAUCUAUCUCUAUAGAUCUUGAUGCCUAAUAUAUAUGCAGCUUCUCCAAGGUCCUUCAUUGAAAAACUCUUAUUCAAGUAGGCCUUAAUGCUGUCCAAGAGUUCUAUAUCAUUUCCCAUCAAAAGUAUGUCAUCUACAUAUAAUAUGAGAAAUGCUACAGAGCUCCCACUCACUUUCUUGUAAACACAGGCUUCUCCAUAAGUCUGCGCAAACCCAAACGCUUUGAUCAUCUCAUCAAAGCGAAUGUUCCAACUCCGAGAUGCUUGCACCAGCCCAUAAAUUGAGCGUUGGAGCUUGCACACCUUGUCAGCAUUCUUAGGAUCGACAAAACCUUCCGGCUGCAUCAUAUACAAUUCUUCCUUAAGGAAACCAUUAAGGAAUGCCGUUUUGACGUCCAUUUGCCAUAUCUCAUAAUCAUAGAAUGCGGCAAUUGCUAACAUGAUUCGGACGGACUUUAGCUUCGCUACCGGUGAGAAAGUCUCAUCGUAGUCAACCCCUUGAACUUGUCGAUAACCCUUAGCAACAAGCCGAGCUUUAUAGAUGGUCACAUUACCAUCCGUGUCUAUCUUCUUCUUAAAGAUCCAUUUAUUUUCUAUGGCUCGCCGCUCAACAGGCAAGUCAGUCAAAGUCCAUACUUUGUUUUCAUACAUGGAUCCUAUCUCGGAUUUCAUGGCUUCUAGCCAUUUGUCGGAAUUCGGGCCCGCCAUCGCUUCUUCAUAGUUCGAAGGUUCACUGUUGUCUAACAACAUGAUUUCCAAGACAGGGUUGCCGUACCACUCUGGUGCAGAACGUGUCCUUGUGGACCUACGAAGUUCAGUAGCAACUUGAUUUGAAGUUUCAUGAUCAUCAUCAUUAACUUCCUCUCUAGUCGGUGCAGGCACCUCAGGAACAUUUUCUUGAGUUGCGCCAUUUUCCGGUUCAAGAGGUAAUACUUCAUCAAGUUCUACUUUCCUCCCACUUACUUCUUUCGAGAGAAACUCUUUCUCUAGAAAGGAUCCAUUCUUGGCAACAAAGAUCUUGCCUUCGGACCUGAGGUAGAAGGUAUACCCAAUAGUUUCUUUAGGGUAUCCUAUGAAGACGCAUUUUUCCGACUUGGGUUCGAGCUUUUCAGGUUGAAGUUUCUUGACAUAAGCAUCGCAUCCCCAAACUUUUAGAAAUGACAGCUUAGGUUUCUUCCUAAACCAUAAUUCAUACGGUGUCGUCUCAACGGAUUUCGAUGGAGCCCUAUUUAAAGUGAAUGCGGCAGUCUCUAAAGCAUAGCCCCAAAAAGAUAGCGGUAAAUCGGUAAGAGACAUCAUAGAUCGCACCAUAUCUAAUAGAGUGCGAUUGCGAUGUUCGGACACACCAUUACGCUGAGGUGUUCCAGGCGGCGUGAGUUGUGAAACUAUUCCACAUUUCUUAAGUGUGUGCCAAAUUCGUGACUCAAGUAUUCUCCUCCACGAUCUGAUCGCAAAAACUUGAUUUUUCUGUCACGUUGAUUCUCAACCUCACUCUGAAAUUCCUUGAACUUUUCAAAGGUUUCAGACUUGUGUUUCAUUAAGUAGACAUACCCAUAUCUACUCAAGUCAUCAGUGAGGGUGAGAACAUAACGAUAGCCACCGCGAGCCUCAACACUCAUUGGACCGCACACAUCAGUAUGUAUGAUUUCCAAUAAGUUGGUUGCUCGCUCCAUUGUUCCUGAGAACGGAGUCUUGGUCAUUUUACCCAUGAGGCAUGGUUCGCACGCGUCAAAUGAUUCGUAAUCAAGAGACUCUAAAAGUCCAUCAGCAUGGAGCUUCUUCAUGCGUUUGACACCUAUGUGACCAGGGCGGCAGUGCCACAAGUAUGUGGGACUAUCAUUAUCAAUCUUACAUCUUUUGGUACUCACACUAUGAACAUGUGUAGCAUUAUGCUCGAGAUUCAUUAAGAAUAAACCAUUCACCAUCAGAGCAUGACCAUAAAACAUAUCUCUCAUAUAAAUAGAACAACCAUUAUUCUCGGAUUUAAAUGAGUAGCCAUCUCGUAUUAAAUGAGAUCCCGAUACAAUGUUCAUGCUCAAAGCUGGCACUAAAUAACAAUUAUUGAGGUUUAAAACUAAUCCCGUAGGUAAAUGCAGAGGUAGCGUGCCGACGGCGAUCACAUCGACCCUGGAACCAUUCCCGACGCGCAUCGUCACCUCGUCCUUCGCCAGUCUCCGCUUAUUCCGCAGCUCCUGCUUUGAGUUACAAAUGUGAGCAACUGCACCGGUAUCAAAUACCCAGGAGCUACUACGAGUACUGGUAAGGUACACAUCAAUUACAUGUAUAUCACAUAUACCUUUUGUUUUGCCGGCCUUCUUGUCUGCUAAGUAUUUGGGGCAGUUCCGUUUCCAGUGACCACUUCCCUUGCAAUAAAAGCACUCAGUCUCGGGCUUGGGUCCAUUCUUUGGCUUCUUCCCGGCAGCUUGCUUGCCGGGCGCGGCAACUCCCUUGCCGUCCUUCUUGAAGUUCUUUUUACCCUUGCACUUCUUGAACUUAGUGGUUUUAUUCACCAUCAACACUUGAUGUUCCUUUUUGACUUCUACCUCUGCUGAUUUCAGCAUUGCAAAUAAUUCGGGAAUGGUCUUUUCCAUCCCCUGCAUAUUGAAGUUCAUCACAAAGCUCUUGUAGCUUGGUGGAAGCGACUGAAGGAUUCUGUCAAUGACUGCAUCAUCCGGGAGAUUAACUCCCAGCUGAGUCAAGCGGUUAUGUAACCCAGACAUUGUAAGUAUGUGCUCAUUGAUAGAACUAUUUUCCUCCAUCUUACAGCUGAAGAAUUUGUCAGAGACUUCAUAUCUCUCGACCCGGGCAUGAGCUUGAAAAACCAUUUUCAGCUCUUCGAACAUCUCAUAUGCUCCGUGUCUCUCAAAACGUUUUUGGAGCCCCGGUUCUAAGCUGUAAAGCAUGCCGCACUGAACGAGGGAGUAAUCAUCAGCACGUGUCUGCCAAGCGUUCAUAACGUCUUGGUUCUGUGGGACGGGUGCGUCACCUAGCGGUGCUUGUAGGACAUAAUCUUUCUUGGCAGCUAUGAGGAUGAUCCUCAGGUUUUGGACCCAGUCCGUAUAGUUGCUGCCAUCGUCUUUUAGCUUGGUUUUCUCUAGGAACGCGUUGAAGUUGAAGACAACGUUGGCCAUUUGAUCUACAAGACAUAUUGUAAAGUUUUAGACUAAGUUCAUGAUAAUUAAGUUCAUGUAAUCAAAUUAUUCAAUGAACUCCCACUCAGAUAGACAUCCCUCUAGUCAUCUAAGUAUAACAUGAUCCGAGUUAACUAGGCCGUGUCCGAUCAUCACGUGAGACGAACUAGUCAACGUCGGUGAACAUCUUCAUGUUGAUCGUAUCUUCUAUAUGACUCAUGCUCGACCUUUCGGUCUUCUGUGUUCUGAGGCCAUGUCUAUACAUGCUAGGCUCAUCAAGUCAACCUAAGUGUUUGCAUGUGUAAAUCUGUCUUACACCCGUUGUAUGUGAACGUUGGAAUCUAUCACACCCGAUCAUCACGUGGUGCUUCGAAACAACGAACUGUCGCAACGGUGCACAGUUAGGGGGAACACUUUCUUGAAAUUAUUAUGAGGGAUCAUCUUAUUUACUACCGUCAUUCUAAGCAAACAAGAUGUACAAAACAUGAUAAACAUCACAUGCAAUCAAAUAAUAAUAGUGACAUGAUAUGGCCAAUAUCACAUAGCUCCUUUGAUCUCCAUCUUGGGGCUCCAUGAUCAUCUUGUCACCGGCAUGACACCAUGAUCUCCAUCAUCAUGAUCUCCAUCAUCGUGUCUCCAUGAAGUUGCUCGCCAACUAUUACUUCUACUACUACGGCUAACGCGUUUAGCAAUAAAGUAAAGUAAUUUACAUGGCGUUUCUCAAUGACACGCAGGUCAUACAAAAAAUAAAGACAACUCCUAUGGCUCCUGCCGGUUGUCAUACUCAUCGACAUGCAAGUCGUGAUUCCUAUUACAAUAGCAUGAACAUCUCAUACAUCACAUAUAUAUCACUCAUCAUUCAUCACAACUUUGGCCAUAUCACAUCACAGAACACUUGCUGCAAAAACAAGUUAGACGUCCUCUAAUUGUUGUUGCAAGUUUUACGUGGCUGCAAUAGGGUUCUAGCAAGAACGUUUUCUUACCUACGUGAAAGCCACAACGUGAUUUGUCAAGUUCUAUUUACCCUUCAUAAGGACCCUUUUCAUCGAAUCCGCUCCAACUAAAGUGGGAGAGACAGACACCCGCCAGCCACCUUAUGCAACUUGUGCAUGUUAGUCGGUGGAACCGGUCUCACGUAAGCGUACGUGUAAGGUUGGUCCGGGCCGCUUCAUCCCAUAAUACUGCUGAAGCAAGAUAAGACUAGUAGCGGCAAGAAAGUUGACAACAUCUACGCCCACAACAAAUUGUGUUCUACUCGUGCAAAGAGAACUACGCAUAGACCUAGCUCAUGAUGCCACUGUUGGGGAACGUUGCAGAAAACAAAAAAUUUCCUACGGUUUCACCAAGAUCCAUCUAGGAGUUCAUCUAGAAACGAGUGGUCGGAUUGCAUCUACAUACCUUUGUAGAUCGCGCGCGGAAGCGUUCAAGAGAACAGGGUUGAUGGAGUCGUACUCGUCGUGAUCCAAAUCACCGAUGGUCCUAGCGCCGAACGGACGGCACCUCCACGUUCAACACACGUACAGAGCAGAGACGUCUCCUCCUUCUUGAUCCAGCAAGGGGGGAGGAGAGGUUGAUGGAGAUCCAGCAGCACGACGGCGUGGUGGUGGAAGUAGCGGGAUUUCAACAGGGCUUCGCCAAGCGCUGCGGGAGGAGGGAGAUGUGUCACGGGAGGGAGAGGGAGGCACCAGGGCUUAGGUGUGGCUGCCCUCCCUUCCCCCCACUAUAUAUAGGGCCAAGGGAUAGGGGGGUGCGCAGCCUUGGCCCUUCCUCCAAGGAAGGGUGCGGCCAGGGAGGAGUCUAUCCUCCCCAAGGCACCUAGGAGGUGCCUUCCCCCUUUUGGACUCUUCCUUUCCCUUAUCUCUUGGCGCAUGGGCCUCUUGGGGCUGGUGCCCUUGUCCCAUAUAGGCCAAGGCGCACACCCCUACAGCCCAUGUGGCCCCCCAGGGCAGGUGGACCCCCUUGGUGGACCCCCGGACCCCUUUCGGCAUUCCCGGUACAAUACCGAUAAUGCGCGAAACUUUUCCGGCGACCAAAACAAGACUUCCCAUAUAUAAAUCUUUACCUCCGGACCAUUCCGGAACUCCUCGUGACGUCCGGGAUCUUAUCCAGGACUCCGAACAACUUUCGGGUUACCGCAUACUAAUAUCUCUAUAACCCUAGCGUCACCGAACCUUAAGUGUGUAGACCCUACGGGUUCGGGAGACACGUAGACAUGACCGAGACGACUCUCCGGCCAAUAACCAACAGCGGGAUCUGGAUACCCAUGUUGGAUCCCACAUGCUCCUCGAUGAUCUCAUCGGAUGAACCACGAUGUCAAGGAUUCAAUCAAUCCCACAUACAAUUCCCUUCGUCAAUCGGUAUGUUACUUGCCCGAGAUUCGAUCGUCGGUAUCCCAAUACCUUGUUCAAUCUCGUUACCGGCAAGUCACUUUACUCGUACCGUAAUGCAUGAUACCGUGACCAGACACUUGAUCACUUUGAGCUCAUUAUGAUGAUGCAUUACCGAGUGGGCCCAGUGAUACCUCUUCGUCAUACGGAGUGACAAAUCCCAGUCUUGAUCCGUGUCAACCCAACAAACACUUUCGGAGAUACCCGUAGUAUACCUUUAUAGUCACCCAGUUACGUUGUGAUGUUUGGUACACCCAAAGCACUCCUACGGUAUCCGGGAGUUACACGAUCUCAUGGUCUAAGGAAAGGAUACUUGACAUUGGAAAAACUCUAGCAAACGAACUAUACGAUCUUAUGCUAUGUAUAGGAUUGGGUCUUGUCCAUCACAUCAUUCUCCUAAUGAUGUGAUCUCGUUAUCAAUGACAUCCAAUGUCCAUAGUCAGGAAACCAUGACUAUCUAUUGAUCAACGAGCUAGUCAACUAGAGGCUUACUAGGGACAUGUUGGUGUCUAUUAUUCACACAUGUAUUACGAUUUCCGGAUAACACAAUUAUAGCAUGAAUAAAGACAAUUAUCAUGAACAAGUAAAUAUAAUAAUAAUGCUUUUAUUAUUGCCUCUAGGGCAUAUUUCCAACAUGAAUAUAGCCUUCCAAUAUAUCGAUCUUUACGUCUUGAACAUUUUGGGACUCCUCGUCAUGUCCCUGAUCUCAUUCGGGACUCCGAACAACCUUCGGUACAUCAAAACACAUAAACUCAUAAUAUCGAUCGUCACCGACCGUUAAGCGUGCGGACCCUACGGGUUCGAGAACUAUGUAGACAUGACCGAGACUCGUCUCAGGUCAAUAACCAAUAGCGGAACCUGGAUACUCAUAUUGGUUCCUACAUAUUGUACGAAGAUCUUUAUCAGUCAAACCGCAUAACAACAUAUGUUGUUCCUUUUGUCAUCGGUAUGUUACUUGCCCGAGAUUCGAUCGUCGGUAUCUCAAUACCUAGUUCAAUCUCGUUGUGGCAAGUCUCUUUACUCGUUCCGUAAUGCAUCAUCACGCAACUAACUCAUUAGUCACAAUGCUUGCAAGGCUUAUAGUGAUGUGCAUUACCGAGAGGGCCUAGAGAUACCUCUUUGAUACUCGGAGUGACAAAUCAUAAUCUCGAUCUAUGCCAACUCAACAAACACCAUUGGAGACACCUGUAGAGCACCUUUAUAAUCACCUAGUUACAUUGUGACGUUUGGUAGCACACAAAGUGUUCCUCCGGUAUUCGGGAGUUGCAUAAUCUCAUAGUCAUAGGAACAUGUAUAAGUCAUGAAGAAAGCAAUAGCAACAAACUAAAUGAUCAUCGUGCUAAGCUAACAGAUGGGUCAAGUCAAUCACAUCAUUCUCUAAUGAUGUGAUCCCGUUAAUCAAAUGACAACUCAUGUCUAUGGCUAGGAAACUUAACCAUCUUUGAUUCAACGAGCUAGUCAAGUAGAGGCAUACUAGUGACACUCUGUUUGUCUAUGUAUUCACACAUGUACUAAGUUUUCGGUUAAUACAAUUCUAGCAUGAAAAAUAAACAUUUAUCAUGAUAUAAGGAAAUAUAAAUAACAACUUUAUUAUUGCCUCUAGCAUAUUUCCUUCACUUUGUUCAUAACGAUCAUCUCUACUCAUUCUCUCUCUUGGAGGUGAUUCAUCUCUUCUACUUCUCCUUUUUGGUGAGUCUUCUAUUUUCUUGUAGGGAGUUGUACACUCAUUGGAGUAGUGUCCGGGUCUUCCACAAUUGUAGCAAUUACGAUCACGACUAGAAGAUCUUUUGCCAUUGCAGGACCUUGACUUGGAGUUUCUCCCUUUGCUUCCAUUCUUGUAGAAUUUGUUGAAGUUCUUCACCAUUAAGCUCAAUUCUUCAUUGGAGACUUGCUUCUCACUUGAUGUUGUAGGGGCAUCACUUGAGGCUUUGUAAGCGCCACUUGACUUAUUGUGAAGCUCUUCCUUGUCCAUGAGUGACAUCUCAUGAGCAACAAUUCUACCAAGGACUUUUGUAGGCUUGAGAUCUUUGUAAUUGGGCAUCAUUUGGAUCAAGGUGCACACGGUAUCAUAUUUUCCAUCCAAGGCUCUAAGGAUCUUUUUGAUGAUGAAUUUGUUGGUCAUCUCUUCACUUCCUAAGCCGGCAAUCUCAUUUGUGAUGAGAGCAAACCUAGAGUACCUUUCCGCGACCCCUUCACCAUCCUUCAUAUUGAACUCAUCAAGUUGACUUUGAAGCACAUCCAACUUGGAUUCCUUGAUGGACUCGGUACCUUCGUGUAUAUCAACCAAAGUAUCCCAAACUUUCUUUGCAUUCUCAAGGCGGCUGAUUUUGUUGAGUUCUUCGGGGCACAAUCCAUUGAAGAGAAUAUUGCAAGCUUGAGCAUUGUAUUGCAACAUCUUCAUUUCUUCCACUUUCACGUCAUGAUCUGGUUAUUUACCAUCCUCUAAGAAAUCACCUUGCAAGCCAAUACGCACAACAACCCAAACGACGGGGUUAUGACCAAGAAUAUGAAUUUUCAUCUUAUGCUUCCAACAAGCAAAAUUUGUACCAUGAAAAUAAGGACCUCUACAGUGGUAAUUUCCCUCGCUAGAUGCCAUACUCUUCUAGGUUGUGAAACCAAGGCUGUGAUCACCAAAGCUCUGAUACCACUUGUAGGAUCGAAAAUAUGUCUAGAGGGGGUGAUUAGACUACUUGACCAAAUAAAAAUCUAUCAUUUUCCCAAUUUUAGUUGUGGGCAGAUUUUAGCAAUUAGCACAAGUCAAGCAAUUAACCUACACAUGCAAUUCUAAGAGUAUAGUAGCGGAAAGUAAAACAUUGCAUAUGAAGGUAAAGGGAAGGGUUCAGAGAAGGCGAACGCAAUGGAGACACGGAGAUUUUUGGUAUGGUUCUGAAUUCCGAUAGGUGGUGCUAUCGUACGUCCAUGUUGAUGGAGACUUCAACCCAUGAAGGGUAAUAGUUGCGCGAGUCCACAGAGGGCUCCACCCACGAAGAAGCAACCUUGUCUAUGCCACCAUGGCCAUCGUCCAUGAAGGAUUUGCCUCACUCGGGUAGAUCUUCAUGAAGUAGGCGACCUCCUUGCCCUUACAAACUUAUUGGUUCAACUCCACAUCACAACGGAGGCUCCCAAGCGACACCUAACCAAUCUAGGAGACGCCACUCUACAAAAGGUAAUAGAUGGUGUGUAGAUGAUGAAAUCCUUGCUCUUGUGCUUCAAAUGAUAGUCUCCCCAACACUCAACUCUCCCUAUCAGAUUUGUCUAUGGUGGAAGAGAGAUUUAAGUGGAAAGCAACUUGGGGAAGGCUAGAAAUCAAGGUUCAAAAGGUUGGAUUGGAACCUCUUGACCUCAACACAUGAGUAGGUGGCUCUUUCUCAGAAAAUGAUGGUGGAAGUGUAGGCAUGUUCUAAUGGCUCUCUCACAAAUGGAGAAGGGGUGGAGGGGUAUAUAUAGCCUCCACACAAAAUCCAACCAUUACACACAUUUGACUCAUCUCGGUGGCACCGAAUAGUUAAACUCGAUGGCAUUGAUCAGUUAAAAAAUGUGAACAUUAGGAAUCUCGGUGGGACCGACUAGAACAACUCAGUGGGACCGAUGUCCUAUGGCUUAGGGCAAACAUCAUUUCGAUGGCGCCGAUUGCAACAACUCGGUGGGACCGAAGUGAAGCAAUAAGCAACAGAGAAUCUAUCAAGCCAACUCGGUGAGACCGAUUGCAUAAACUCGACGAGACCGAAGCAAAUACAAUAGAUCACAGAGCGCUGGCAAGGCCAUCUCGGUGAGACCGAGAUUCGUAUUUGUGUGACCGAACUGUUAGGAUUUCUAGCAGUGGCUAUGUCAUAUGAACUCGAUGGCUCCAUAUAGAAAGAAUCGGCGGGGCCGAGUUUGGAUUUAAGUUUUGGACAUAUUUGGAUGGAGAAAGUGGCUGAGAGUUUUGGAGCAAUAUCACUAAGCAUUUGAGCAAAUAGACCAUUAAGCAACACCUCUUCCCAUUUUAAUAGUAUUGGCUUUCAUAUGGACUCAAUGUGAUCUUCGAUCACUAAAAUAGAAAUGAAGAGUCUUGAGCUUUUGCCAAUCUUUGUCCUUAUCAUUUUGAGGGUUCCAUAUCUCUAUGCCAUGCCAAUCAUUAAACUUUCUGAAAUAUUUAUCUUGAGUGGAUAUUAGUUCAAUGAGAUAUAUGUUGUUAUGAAUUACCAAAAUCACCUGAGGAUUAGUUGCACUUUCAGCCGGGUCUCGUCACAAGGUCGCCGACGCCCAGAUGUGCAUGCGCAAUCACGUCUUCGUCUACCACUACUGUGUGGCCACAAGUCCUUGCGAGCAUUUCACCAGGUUUGUCAACGGCCCCCACUACAUGUUCACUACAGUGGACAUCACCAACGAUGUAAAGGUGUUCAAGAAUUCGGGCAUCGCCUGCCAGAAUCUUGUCGACAUACAGGGCCAACACAAGAUCUGGGGCAGCAAGACGCAUGAGAAGGACUCACUGGUUCACCUCGCCGAGGCCAUCGUCGACCCUACUAUAGAGACAUGAAGGAUUCCUGCAACAAGGACAAAGCGUGCCUGCACUUGGCCUGGAUGGAGAAACUCGACAAAGCUCAUGUUCUGUACGCGACCAAGGAGACAUAUAUGAGGUACGAGAUGUAUAGGCAGAUCGUUGACAUGAGGAAGUGCCUCCUUCCCCCAAAUGGGGAUCCAGCCGAAAGCAUAGCAAUGGAAAACGUUGUCACAAUAAGAAGUAGAUAAUUAGAUGAUCAUUUCUCCUAGUUUAGUAUGCAUGUAAUUGUUUACUUUGGUGUGUGAAAAUGUUAUGUGUGUAGUCACUUAUGUGAUUGUAUGUUUAAUUUGGUUAUGCAGUCAUGUUCUUAUAAGUAUAUAUGUUGUUCUUCUGUAGACAGAGCGUAGAUGUUGUGCGGACAGAGCAAAUCACAUCACACACGGACUAAACUAGGGAAGUCAUCGGUGAUUAUUUCAUCAAUCGCUGAAAAUUGUAUACCAGCAAGAUUUGCCCACAACACACACGGCUUGUUAGCAGGAAUCGUCUUCGUUGUUAUAUGUCUUCCCACACAUUUUUGAUUACUGACCCGUUUGCCGCAUAUCACACACAUCUUGUUAACUUGAAAGGAUCGAUAUGGUUGACUAGAGGGGGUGAAUAGGCAACUAACAAUUUUUAACUUUUCUUUACCAAAUUAAACAUUGCAUCAAAGUAGGUUGUCUAGACAUUCAACUAGGUGAGCAACCUAUAUGAUGCAACAACAACAAGCACACAAGCAAGCAAGGGAAGAAACACAAAUAAGCUUGCACAAGUAAAGGUACGAGAUAACCAAGAGUGGAGCCAGUGAAGACGAGGAUGUGUUACCGAAGUUCCUUCCUUUUGAGGGGAAGUACGUCUCCGUUGGAGCGGUGUGGAGGCACGAUGCUCCCCAAGAAGCCACUAGGGCCACCGUAUUCUCCUCACGCCCUCACACAAUGUGAGAUGUCGUGAUUCCACUAUUGGUGCCCUUGGAGGCGGCGAUCGGACCUUUACAAACAAGGUUGGGGCAAUCUCCACAACUUAAUCGGAGGCUCCCAACAACACCACGAAGCUUCACCACAAUGGACAAUGGCUCCAUGGUGACCUCAACCGUCUAGGGUGCUCAAACACCCAAGAGUAACAAGAUCCGCUAGGGAUUAGUGAGGGAAUCAAAUUUCUCUUGGCGGAAGUGUAGAUCGGGGCCUUCUCAACCAAUCCCGAGCAAAUCAACAAGUUUGAUUGGCUAGGGAGAGAGAUCGGGUGAAAAUGGAGCUUGGAGCAUUAAUGGAGCUUUUGGGGGAAGAGGUAAGUCAACUUUGGGGAAGAAGACCCCCUUAUAUAGUGGGGGAAACAAUCCAACCGUUACCCCCCUGAACAGCCCCGCAAAGGGCGGUACUACCGCUGAGGGCCGCGUUACUAUCACUGGGACUGCGGUACUACCGCUCCCCCACGCGGUACUGCCGUUCAGACCCCUGUGCGGUACUACUGCGGUGGUAGGGCGGUACUACCACUCUCGAGCGGCACUACCACAUCUAUUGACGUUGCUUAGUGCCACACAAUCCGACACAAGAGGCGACCCCCUCGAAUCGACGCGGUAGGAGCCCGGUGCCGCAGCGGUAUUACAGCGAGGACCCACAGGCGGUACUGCUGCGGUUGGGAGCGGUACUACCGCCUGUGGCUCUUGAGCGGUACUACCGCUGGGAACCGUGGUACUACCGUUGGGACCCAAAACAAGCACAAAGGAAGGGGAAUGAGCUCUCCAUUGAAGCGGAAAGGCUCAGAGGGUGUGAAAAAGGAUGUGUACGUGUUGAUUCCACCCUAGCCUUACCAAAGCGGACCCCCUCUUGAUAGUACGGUGCCUCCUACGAAACUAGUCCACCAAAAUAGAAAUGAAAGAGCUACACCGUCUUGAAUAACACUCCGAGGGGAAAGAAAUCAUCUCGUGCCAAAGGAUGAAACUCUGAAAUGCACAAAGCACACGAUUAGUCUGCAAACAUGUUGUCAUCAAUCACCAAAACUACAUCGAGAGAGAUAUGCCUUAACAAUCUCCCCCUUUUUGGUGGAUUGAUGGCAACCAGGGAUUUGCACAAAGAUAAGACAAGAAAGUAAAGAUACUUAGAACUACAAAAUAUAGACGGGCUCCACCUGAAUGUGUGCACCUAGUUAGUAGUGCCUUUGGAAUGCAAGACACACACAUUAGGAUCAACACUCCCCCUAUAUUUGAUAGUCCAACAUCCUAAGCAAAGGAUACAUGAGAGCAGGGUAUAUAACAGGAUAAUCAUGCAACUCAUAAGAUACUAAAGUACCAGAAAGACAUAGAUAAAGAUAAGGUAAGGAUAAGGUAGCAUAUGUCUCACACCAUAUGUCUGGAACUUAGGUCUCACGGGCACAACACCAAACAACGCAAAUGGCGAGAAAACACAACGACACCACAAACCAAACCACAAAGACACACUCACAACUAGGCAACGACACAAAUCCCUAAACUCUCCCCCCUUUGGCAUCGAGACACCAAAAGAGCAAAGAGCGUUGCUACGGCUCCAGGUGAUAGCAAGCAGAGGAUCUCAAACAUCACAUCUCAGCAGGAUCGUCUGCACCGCCAUUAUCGGUCGGAAACUGCUCGGCGUUUGAAUCGGUCCACGGGCAAUGCUGCUGAACCCACUCCUCCUAAUCAGUGAUCCUCUCCUCAGAUCCGCUAUUAAUAGUGGCACCCAACUGUCACAUGAGCUCCUUGUGACGUCUGCGGGCCUUCUUCUCAGAGACAUGAGACAUGUACUGGCCAUGAGACUCCAUGCAGAAAAGUUUCUUCAUAUUGCGCUUAAUCCUCUUAGCCCAUGAGGGCUCCACACCGGAGGGCUCAUAGUCCUCAUCCUUGUCGGCCUCAGCCUCGUCCUCAGUCUCCAUGUCAGCCUCAUAAGCCAGAUUGAGGGGCCUGGGUGCCCCAAUUGUCCUUCUUCCUUAGACGCUUGAUCUCAUGAGAAAUCAACUCUCCAGUUUCUAGCACAGCCCUGGGAUAGUGAUGUGCCCAUGCCUUCUCAAUGAGAAGCAUGAUGAAAGGACCAUAGAUCGGGCACUUGCGCUCAGAAAUGGCAGAAAGAAGUUCAGACCACAUAACAUGAGAAAUGUCCAGGGACUCUCCAGUGUUUGCUUCCUUCUCAUGCUGGUAGAAGAGAAGCAUGUCCACGAGAUAGGAGUGGACCAUAUCCAGAUUCCCAAUGCGAGGGAAAAGAGUCUCUCGAAAGAUGCGAUGAAGGAUUUCUAGAAAGGCAGGCAGCUCAUAGGUUACCUUCUUAGUCUUGGGGUUAACCUUCUUAGAACAGUAGGACCAGGGGGCUUGCUUGUGAGUGGAGGUGACAUUGCGGUGAGGGCGGAAGCCGACUGGAUUCUCAAGCCCGAGAUCUUCCACCCCAAGUGAGCACCCUGCCAUUCGUCAUCCAAGUCAGAGUCCUUUCUUCAUUAGUUCCAAGAUGGACAGUGGCAUAGAAUUGACAUAUCAAAUUUGCAUCAAAGUCCUUGUUGAACUGCAUGAUUCUGAGAAUGUUCAACUGAGAGCACAUCUGAAGGGCUUCGCCAAAGUACUCAGGGUCCUUUUCCAUAGGAUCAGUGUCGAUGGAACAAACAUCAACAUAGUGAUUCUUCUUAGCCUUGAUCACAUCGAAGAAGAUGGCGAACUGAAAGCGGUUCCAGAAUGGGCGGUUGACCAAAGUGGGAUCUUGGUCUUCCUCAUAGGUGUUGCGGUGAUGCCUUGCCCAAAAUUCCUUGGCAGACAUCUUAGACAUAGUCUUUCCCUUUGGCUUGUUGGCCGAUCUCUUCGUGAGCUGAGGCGGUGGUGGAGCACUUGAGGAAGCACCCGCUGGCGGCGGUGGAGCACUUGAGGAACCACCUGUUGACUCAGAUGUGCGGUAGCGCUUUGAUGUUGCACGACCGGGGUUGACACGACAGACCUGCUGCUUAGGAUGAUCAUCACCUAGAACCAAACACACGACUAGAAGAAACAACAUGAAAGAAAGAGCAUAAGCCACCAAACAAAACAACAUGGAUCAAAAUGUGGUAGGAAAUGAUGGAACUGGGCAUCCAGCGGUAGUACCGCGACCCAACCGCGGCAGCACCGCUCGCGCGGUAGUACCGCUCAAGAUGGGCGGUAGUACUGCUCAAGACGGGGAACGGCAGUUCCCUACUGCCGUGGACAGAUCCGGCACUAUCGGAGAUGCCAAAUUCAAAAAUAAGCCUACCAAACAUCAAUCCAAAGGGACUAGAAGCCAUCUCCAUCCUACUCAAGCCUCGACUUAGCCAAAAGACGAGAAAAACAAUGCCUAUUGCCCCUAAAAACUAGAUGCAAGAUCUAGGCAAGGAGAGAAUGGGAGUGGGGGCAAUACCGGCAUCCAUGGCUAGAGGACGUGGUGGGAAUUGACUCCACCGGAGGAAAUGGAGAGGGACGGCAUGAAAACGGCGGCCAGACGAGGCCCUCCUGCGGCGAGACGUCGCUAAAGCGACGAGGAAGAUGAGCGAGUGGGGGCGAAUGUGUAUGGGGGAGAAAACAACUCCCCCCGCCCCAACAUAACCCCCCAUCGCCCGCCCCGCAGCGGUAGUACCACUGGGGUGGGCGGUAGUACCGCUUGACGCUUAUCAACGGUGGUACCGUGCACGCAGCAGUAGUACCCUCAGCCGCAAAAAGGACAAGCCAAAAGGCUUAGCUCAAGAAAAGAAACCGAGACGAAAGCGAUAAGAAACACACACACACACACAAAACCAACCAAAAGAACGAAAAACACACACCUUUCCAAGAGAGGGCGGUUGCCGAGGCCACCUAUGUUUGAGUUCAGAGGUAUGGCGCCGCGAAGAUUUUAACCUUGGGCCCAUGACCAACACUCACCUUUAACGCACAAGUACCAUAAAAAAGGCUAAUGUGAAAGAGUUUGAUUAGUUUAUGCAUUAUGGGGGGGGGGAGAGUUCAUUGAGAGAACAACACUCCCCCUAUGUCCAUGCCUACACCUAAACUAGACAACAAGUUGAGUGUGGAGGGGUGUGCAAGGGUUCAAGUCACAUUACUCGAAUCAAUGAUAUUUAGCUCAUGCCUUAACUCGCGAAAUCUUGCUUCAUCCAGGGGCUUCGUGAAGAUAUCCGCAAGGUUAUCAAGAGUGUUGACAUAGUUGAGCUCGAUAUCCCCUCGCCUAAUAUGAUCCCUGAUGAAGUGAUACCGAAUCUCAAUAUGCUUCAUCUUGAAGUGUUGCACCGGGUUGAGAGAAAUCUUGAUUGCACUUUCAUUGUCACACCAGAGAGGCACUUUGUCACAAAUGACACCGUAAUCCUUUAAAGUUUACCUCAUCCAUAAAAGUUGUGCACAACAACUACCGGCAGACACAUACUCCGCUUCCGUGGAUGAGAGAGACACGCAACUUUGCUUCUUGGAAGACCAACUCGCCAAAGAGCAACCAAGAAAUUUGCACCCUCUGGAAGUGGACUUCCUAUCCACUUUGUCUCCCGCCCAAUCCGAGUCCGAAUAACCUACAAGCUUGAAGUUUGCUCCUCUUGGGUACCAUAAGCCAAAGUUUUGGGUAUGAGCCAAAUAUCGAAAGAUUCACUUGACCGCCACAAAGUGACUUUCCUUAGGUGCGGCUUGAAACCACGCACAAAUUCUCACACUCAACAUGAUAUUCGGUCUAGAUGCAAAAAGGUAAAGCAAGGAGCUAACCAUGGAGCAAUAUACCUUUUGAUCCACCGCUUUACCAUUGGGAUCAAUGUCAAGUUGGCACUUAGCGGGCAUGGGAGUGGAAGCCGGCUUGACAUCACUUAUCUUGAAUCUCUUGAGCAUGUCUUGAGUGUAUUUGGCUUGGUUGAUGAAGGUUCCUUCUCUCCGUUGCUUCACUUCGAACCUGAGAAAGAACUUCAACUCUCCCAUGGAAGACAUCUCAAACUUUGAGGUCAUGAGAGCGGCAAAUUCCUCAUUGAAAACUUUGUUAGGGGAACCAAAGAUAAUAUCAUCAACAUAUAAUUGGCACACAAACAACUCCCCUUUGACCUUCUUAGUAAAAAGAGUGGGGUCGAUUAGCCCAACUUCAAAACCACAGUCUUGUAACAACUCGGUAAGGUGGUCAUACCACGCACGUGGGGCUUGUUUAAGGCCAUAGAGUGCCUUAUCAAGUUGAUACACAUGAUCGGGAAAGUAGGGAUCCUCGAACCCGGGGGGUUGCUUGACACAUACCAAUUCAAUAAUAGGACCAUUAAGAAAAGCACUCUUCACAUCCAUUUGUUGUAACUUAAAGCUAUGAUGAGAAGCAUAUGCAAUCAACAUGCGAAUGGAUUCAAGACGAGCAACGGGAGCAAAGGUUUCACCGUAGUCGAUACCCUCGACUUGGGAGUAGCCUUGUGCUACCAAACGAGCCUUGUUGCGAAUGAUAAUCCCAUGAGCAUCUUGCUUGUUCUUGAAUAUCCACUUGGUUCCAAUGACAUUGUGGUUCCCCGUUGGCCUUGGCACCAAUCUCCACACUUUGUUGCGUUCGAAGUUGUUGAGUUCUUCAUGCAUGGCAUUGAGCCAAUCCGGAUCUUCGAGCGCCUCAUAGACCUUUUUGGGUUCAACACACGAGACAAACACGUGAUGUUCACAAUAGUUUGCUAAUUGUCUAUGAGUGUUUACCCCCUUUCUUAAGCUUCCAAGCACAUUUGUCAUGAGAUGAUCCUUGAUGAAGAGCUUGGAAGCAAUCUUGGCGGCACGACACUCCAAUUCCUCCUCGAGGGUGAGACGAGGAGUGGUCACUUGAUCAUCUUAAGCGCCAUCUUGAGCUUGUUCUUGAUCUCGAGGAAGCUCUUGAUCUUGAACUUGCUCAGAGGAGAGAACUUGACCUUGGGCAUCACUUGAUGUUACAACACCAUCUUGAGAUUGACCUUGCCCUUGGUCUUGUUCUUGAGGUUGAGGGCCUUCACUUUGUUCUUCGGAAGCGUGUGGACCUUGGGUUGGUGAUGGCUCCACAAGAGUGGAGCAUUGUCCUUCUCCUUCGGCCAAAAGGGAUUCCUCAAUGGGUAGGAUAAAACCAACACCCAUUCUUCUUAUGGCUUGGGGAGGAAUUUCAUCACCUACAUCACAAGUGCCACUUUGCUCCACUUGGGAGCCGUUAUUCUCAUCAAACUCCACGUUACAUGUCUCCUCAAUAAGUCCCGUGGACUUAUUAAGGACACGGUAAGCAUGGUAGUUCGUAGCAUAACCAACAAAUAUGCCCUCAUGAGCUCUAGCCUCAAAGUUAGACAAACGAACACCUUUCUUGAGAAUGGAACACUUACACCCGAACACCCGAAAGUACUUGAGGUUGGGCUUGUUCCCGGUGAGUAUCUCAUAUGGAUUCUUGUUCAAGCCUUUGCGGAGGUAGAGACGAUUUGAUGCAUGACACGCGGUGUUGAUGGCUUCGGCCCAAAAGUUGUAUGGAGACUUGAACUCUGCCAUCAUGGUCCUUGCCGCAUCCAUCAACGCCCGGUUCUUCCUCUCUGCUACACCAUUUUGUUGAGGGGUGUAUGGUGCAGAAUAUUGAUGCUGUCGGAUUUCGGGUUCCGGCAGACCCUUGAGGUUCGAACACUGGGGUGCGCGCAGAGAUUUCGCCUCCUACCUACCUGCACCCCCCGCCUUGCCAGGAUCUAAACUAUGGAAAGGACAACACAAGAGACACAGGGUUUAUACUGGUUCGGGCCACCAUUGCGGUGUAAUCCCCUACUCAAGUGUGUGGUGUGGUGGAUUGCCUCUUGGGCUAAUGAUGAAGAACCAUACAAGAAAGAACAGCCUCGCGAGGGUCUGUUCUUGGUUGGGGCGAUCAACUGCUGGGAGGAGCUCAGUCACCCUUCUCUCUCUCUCUCUCUCUCUCUCUCUCUCUCUCUCUCUCUUUCUGAUCUUCUCUAUCCUUCCAAACCCUCGGCCCCCUUUGCUCUGUGCGUGGCUGGUCCUAUUUAUAGAGGCCCUGGUCCUCUUCCCAAAUAUCGAGCGGGAAGGGAGCCAACAAUGGCGGGCUAAUUUGAAGGGGGACAGCUAGUACUAGCUACCUGACAAAAGUAGUCUUCGCCUGCGCAAAGCUCUGGUGAUGACGCCGUCUUGGGCUCCACGAUGACCUCCAUCUCGUAGUCCUCCUGGUCUUGGUCUCGUUGCACCGAAAUGGCAACCUUUGCCUGAUGCCUCGGUACUCCGCGGCUACGCUUGCCCCCUUUGCACCAAAGAGGAAGGAAAGACGAUGCGUGGGCUGGCACCCGCCUGGCGCCCCCGGUCGUCAUGGCUUGCGUCACGGGCACCUCGUGAGAUACCCGACCUUGAUCUCUCUGCCUCCUCGUGAGCCAGCCUGACGAGGCCGCGCUUGAGGAAGCUCCGUGUCGUCCGCCCCGCGAGGCUUGGCCCCUCGCGAGGGUCUUGGGUUUGUGUUGGUGAAGAUGGGCCGCGCUGGGCCCCCCUUUGAGCCACGCCGCAGGCCGUAGGCAGGCAAGUCUGGGGACCCCCGUUCCCAGAAUGCCGACAGUAGCCCCGGGGCCCAAGGCGCGCCCGGACUUGGUCGUGCAGGGAGGCAGAAGGGCAAGAGUGAAGCGCCACGGGCCCUAACAGCCUGUGGCCUUGGGCGCCGCAUGGCAGUUGGUUGGACAUGGGCGCCUGCACUUCCCCAUGGCACCUCGGCAACUGCACGGAUUGGACAAGUCCCUGCAUGCAAAGUGGGUCAUGAUUACCUACAAUCGUGGAGGUCGGCGGUUGGCCCUCGCCGGCCGUAAGUAAGGAACAGCGCGCGCCCUUCCAGUCCAUCUCCCCUUGCUUCUCCUUCUUCCUGAUCCUUGCUCCGUCUUAUUGCGAUGGAUCCGAUCCGCUGGUUCUUGACGGCAGAGAAGGGAAAGGCUCCCCGAUAGGAACCAGACCCACUCCCGCCGAAGAAACGGCUCAUCCCCCGUGGCCCGGACGAAGGGGCCCUUCAGGUGGUGUCGAGGCCUUGGUGCGAGCAGGUGCCGCCGGGGUUCCCGCUGCCAUUGUACGCCCACGUCAAGGGCCCCGAAGGAGCUGAUGCUGACCGCCAUGGGCGGCGCCGCCGUCGGCGCCGACGGGUCACGAAGGUGUGGGUCGUCCCCCCUGGGGUCCACACCGAGGGCUUCGCCCGAGAGUUCGUGCUUCACGUCGCCAUUCCUCUUCAGUCUUGGAUUCGCCUUCCUUCCUUCUUCGCCUCCAUCAUCCCGCAGGGGGAGCCCCUGGAGCUCUGGCUGCAGCACGCCGGCUGCAGCACCCUCGCGACCGAGGCAGAGGUUGCGGUCGUUGCCCCGGGCAAGGUCUACAUGACUCGGGGCUGGAGAGAGAUCGCCCGGGUUUGCAGGGUAAGGGGCGUCUUUGCGGUCCACUUGGAUUACGACGGUGCUUCGGUGAUGCUCUUCAAGGUCUUCGGUGCGAGCGGGUGCCGGCUGGAGUGCUGCCCCGGGGAAGGUGGCCAGGUCCCUGCCGCGACGAGGACUAGGCCCGCCAACCGCCCCCUUGGCGGCUCCUCAGGUGGUGGAGGCGUCGGAGGUUCCAGCGACUCCGGCAAGCUCUCCGCGACUCCGGAGACGAGCGAUGAUAGCUACGAGCCCCCGAGCCGGCGCCGCUCCUGGAGUAGGGCAGGCUCGUCAGGCCGCCACCGACCCUGAUCUGGAUGGGGUUGGCUUCGGUGCUUGACAGCCCACUGUUGAUGAUGGCGUCUUUUGCUGGGACGCGCGUAGUUUGUGUCCCUUUAGGAUCUGUUCCCUGCGAGGAAUCAAAAACGCGUCCCGUGGGGGCUUGCAAGGUGCUUGUGAUCCUGUUUUGUUAAUAUAACCCUUGUCGUAGAAUUGCGCGAGUUGCUCAUUCCGUCUUAGCUCAGUCCUCCCUUUCGAGCCUCACGAGAGCUUGGUGCUCUGCGCCGACAGGUCCCAGUCCCAAGGCGGCUUCAGCCGUCGCUGGUAUGCUAGGUCGUGAUGCCGUGGUCAAGGCCAGGAGGUGAGCGACCCGGAGUCCGGUAAGAGCCCCUGAGUCGCGAUGCUUAGGAGGUCCCCUUUGGCCCCCAAGCAGCCGCCGUUUGGUGAGAAAGGAGAGCGGCGUCGCUAACACGGGGUAGCAUUAGGUGCGGGGAUGGUGCCACGGCAGCUGGUGCUUCCGGGUGAUGACUUAUCUCGAGGAUCAGGGGCCGCUCUCUGGUGUGUCGCCGGGUCCUUGCAUCGGCACGCGCGAGGUUGCUCGGCGAGGUCCUCGUGUGUCUCUCCCCUCUUGCCUUUGGUCCCCUUUCUGCUCUACGUCCUCGAGUCCCGGCCCUCGAGCGGGUCUCAGCCGUCGCUGGUAUGCCAGGUCGUGAUGCCGUGGUCAAGGCCAGAGGGUGAGGGCUGGAGAGCCAGUAGGAGUCCUGAGUCGUGAUGCUCAGGCACCCCCCCCUUUAACGUGCAAGCGGUUCGCGUGGACGAGAGCGAAGGAGACACCGCGAGGGCCUCGCCUGACGCAGCUCCUUCAGGAGGUCCUGCAGAUCCAUCAUAGAAAAAAACAAGGGGUCGCCAUGACAAUUGACAGUCAGCCGUUGGUUGCUUCCGAGGGGUAGUGAGGCACUGAAGGCUUGACGAGGUGACGCUAUGCGGGGCUGCCGCGGCCAGAGCUCAGCCAUCCAGGUUUGUCGGCGUUGCAGGGACGGACCCAUGCGCAAGCGUCGUGCCAUUUGGGAGCAGCUCCGUUAGUUGGCGUCGGCUGAGCAGGCAACUAGGUAAAACACAUUAGCCGCGAAGGAGUGGAUCCGUUCAGAUAAAUGCUGGGAAUGCGAACAUCACUGGGUCAGGCCCGAGCGACUUGGGGGUCAUGCAGCCCGAGGGGCGCCCCCAACAGGGUAAGUUAACAACAUGGAAUAAAAUGGGAAUACACGCCGCAGGGACGGACCCACGCGGCCUGGGAAUAAUGCAGCCCUGGGGGGCGCUCCUAGCUGGAAAUAAAACUCAAAAGACGUCACUUGAUGAUGUUGAGGAUGAAGGAGCAUUGAUGUAGCAGGCUUGGUGGGCUGCGGGAGCCGAUCCUCAUGAGCCCCCAGACCCAGGGGCCUCGGGAGGCUCCGGAGGCGCUGGCGGCUCCUCACGGGCCAUCUCCAUCCCUGCCAGGGCUGCGGAACGCCCUGCCUCUCGUGCCUCUGUGAUGCUCCUCAUGAGGCGCUGGUACGUGUCAGCCGCGUUCGACAGGCCGCAAGGCAUGCGUACGUAGCUGUGGGGCGGGCCUCCGCAGCGCCCCACUCGCGAGGGCCAGAGGCGCUCCAGAGAGGCGACUCGGUUGAGCCUGGUAUGUCGAUGCAGACGCGCAGCCCACCAUCCUCGCCUGGAUGGGGAGCCACUGCUAGUAGGCGGCGGCCACCUUUCAUGACUCUUGACUCCUGUAGCUCCUGAAUGGCCUUGCUGACGAACUCCUGAGGGUCUGGAUCUCCUUGCCUUGCUCCUUCUUGAGGGAAACAUGCUUCAAAACACGCCUCCAUGUGGUGCCCAAGCACCUCCCUCGUGACCCUAGCUAGGUCGGUGGCCCUCCAGGGGAGAGCCCCCGAGCCCCGCCUGAGGAGGGCGCUGGGCGCGCUUUCCUAUGCGAUGGAAGGAGGUUCCCCCUGGGCAGGCGCGGGCCCAGAGGGGCCUGCCUCCUGAGUGGUCAGGCCGGACGAUGUCUUCUUCUUCUUAGGGGCGGUCUCGGGAGGCCUCCUGCUCCCACGAUCCGGGUCUUCCAGUGACGCGGCCUGAAAGGCCCAUUCCAGGGAACACACCGCGUCAUUCUCUUCACAUGGCACCGCGAUGACUCCGCCGCUUUCUGGCAUCUUGAGGACGCUGUAGCCGUGGUGAGUUACGGCCAUGAACUUGGCCAGCGCUUGGUACCCAAGGAUGGCGUUGUACGGCAGGUGAAUGUGAGCGACGUCGAAGUCGAUGAGCUCGGUGCGGUAGUUGUCGCGUGCCCCGAAGGUGACAGGGAGGCGGACCUGCCCAAUCGGGACCGUGGAGCCGUUGGUGAUACCGGAGAAAGGCUUGGUGACGCAGGCGGAGGAUGAUGUUGCCGCACGGGAAGCCCGCGUCCUGGAGGAGGUCGGACGUCGAGUGGCGAUGGCGCAUUUGAACCUCGAGCACGAGUUUGACGAGAAGCUGGGGUUAAUCCGGGCCAAAGCUGAAGGCAGGACUGCUGCCUUGAGGGCCAAGCUGGAGGAGGCGACGUGGCGGGCCGACACUUUCCGGGCCGCUCUUGAGGUGGUGCAAGGUGAGUUGACCGCUUCCCAGGCUGAGGUGCUCCUUCUCCGCCAGCGGGUGGAGGAGGCUGAUGACGUCGCGGGCCAGAACACGAACGAGAUCCGUCAGCGACAGAUCCUGGAGCAUGAGCACGGCCCCAUGCUAGCCACGCUCCAGGAGAGAGCCAACGCAGCCUUGGGCAACAUCUGCGAGGCGGCCGUUGGCAAGCCGCAUGCAGUCAACUAUACUGGCAAUCUUCAGUUCUUCACUAACGUGGUGACGCAGCUGGAGGCGCGGUCGGUCAGGGCUGACAGGUUGGUGGAGGAGAGGAGCCGCGGCCUGCUUGGGCACGCCUUUUCUUGCGUCUUCAGCCACCUCCAAAACAUGGAUCCCCGCUUCAAUUUUGACGCCGUCAUUGCCCCAGUCCCCCAGGCCGUCCGAGGCGACCUGGCGCGCUGGGUGGAGGACAAUAUGGACGCUCUUAUCAGGGCCUUUGCUUUGGACAAUGACGACACGAUCGUGGCGGCCAUCGAGGGCGGCGUGGUGAACGGCCCUGACGCCGCUGGCGGCGACGCGGACAGUGAUGGCGGGUUCAGCGACGCCAGCAACGGCCCGGGUGGAGCUCCUGAGAACGCAUUGGGGGAUUCAUCCGACUAAUUGUGCAUCUCUCCUACUUCCUUACCCUCCAUGAAUAGAGCUCAUGUUUCGGCCUGAUUGCAGUGAGAGCAUUUUGAAGGGGGGGGGGGCCUUAUGUAAAACUUGUGUUCAUCGUAUUAGUAGACGCGACAUUGCCCAUGCGCCCGCACCAAGUGGUUGGCCCAAGCGACGCGCUGGUCGGCUAGUUUACCUUUGUCCCGUGUUGGCCCUGAGGCAUCCUGUGGGAGGUUAUGGUCUCUUGAGUGUUCCCUGACUGGGUUCGUAGGAUCUGUAGUAAAACACCCUCCUGAGAGGUCACGUCUGCGGCAGUCUGGGCUGCGCGCAAGCUAGGCCUGACCCGGCUCGCGAGGGGCUCGCGAGGGGAGGCAGCUGAGGCGAAGCAGUAACCAAAGCGCGAGAAAUUGCUCGAAUGAGACUAAGAACCCCUUCCCCGAACACACGCAAAUCUCAAAUUCGAAUCCAACUUGAAUCCAGCAGGGGAAAGCGACAACCAAAGGGAAAAGCAACGAAAGCAAACAAAAGGCCGCGUCCGGCACCUAGUCUAGUCUUGGACGUCUUCUCACCAGCGCGGAGCUAAGUGCUGCCACUGGGCGCGGGAGGGAGCCCCAGGGCCUGAGGCCGGCACCCCUGAGACUCUGGGGCGUGUAUAGCCCCACUCAUUAUUACGUGAGAGUGUCACGGGGCGGCGAGCUUUACAGGCACUGGGCCUUCUUCACAGGUACUGGCCUUGCUUCAUAUCGCCAGAUGAGGGCCCCGCCUUGCGCCACACUCUAGUGCCAUCAACGACGACCGGAAACCAGGACGUCGCCGAUGGGGUAUAGCGGUCGCCAGCGGUUCCCCCGAUGACCACGGGUCCUCCGCCGGGGGCAGGCUCCGCGGCACCUCCCCAGCGGAGGGCCUACCUCUUGAGAACACCUUGCUCCGAAUGCCGCGGUGGUGAUGUCGGAUCCCGGCCCUUCUCCUGCAGCCCCCUGCGCCCUCCUCCCGAGGGGCAGGAGACCGUGGGAGCAGGGCAGCUGCUCGCUGUGGCGACCUGCACCUCCUGCGAUCCAUGGUUAGCGUAUACCUGCUCCUGAAGGAUUAGCGGUACCUGAUAACCGUUGCCCCCAGCAUGGCCAGUAGGACCGUCCCGGGGCUCCCGGAAAGGCUCAGCUUCCGACGCCUCGUCCCCCCAGCUUGGGCUGAGGAGCGAGCCUUGCUCGCUCUCGUGUGGGCGUCCUUGGUCCAUCAUGAUGGGCACGUAUUCCUCCGGCGCCGUCAUCCCGAAUGCCACGCCGUAAUGCCCUGCAUGCCACGCGGUCCUGCCUGACGCGCCCACCGUGGGGUGGCAGCAUGGCUGCCCACUGGGGCCGCGGGUCGCGUCGAGUCCUUCUUCUUCGCGGACCGGGAGCGGGGGCAGCGCCGCCGCCGGUCCGGCGCUGACAACUUCACUGGCGUCGGAGUAGCCUUGGAGCCCGCGGGCGCGCGCGGAGCCCCCGCGCGGGCCAUCCUGGGCUUGAGAUGGGAGCUGGGUGGAGAAGGGGUGAGCCCCCGAGGCGGCGAAGCCCAGGAGCUCUGCCACUCGCUCUAGCAACACGUCAUGGCCGUCCUCCAGCAGCCUGCACUGCAGCAGCUCUCGGGCCACUAUGAGCGCGGCCCUCGAGUUCGCCUGCUCCCUGUGAGUGUACAACGUCGUGGUCGCGGCGUGAUUGGAGGCCCUUGCUGCCGACCGCGCCUGCCGCGGCGUGAGAGCUGUCGAAGUCUGUCCGCGUCGCCCGCGGCCCGCAGCGCUCUGCGGACCACGAGCUGCCUGGGGCACGGGGUCGCCCGAGGCAAGCGGCUCUGCGCAGGCGGGCCACGCCGCCCAUGGAUCUGGGUUGCCCGCCUGGUCGCCGGACAUGGUGAUGACGACGCGACGGGGUGCGAAGCGGUAGAAGGUGGACUCCGGUGCAGCCCUACCUGGCGCGCCAAAUGUCGGAUUUCGGGUUCCGGCAGACCCUUGAGGUUCAAACACUGGGGUGCGCGCGAAGAUUUCGCCUCCUACCUACCUGCACCCCCCCCCCCACCUUGCCAGGAUCUAAACUAUGGAAAGGACAACACAAGAGACACAGGGUUUAUACUGGUUCGGGCCACCAUUGUGGUGUAAUACCCUACUCCAGUGUGUGGUGUGGUGGAUUGCCUCUUGGGCUAAUGAUGAAGAACCAUACAAGGAAGAACAGCCUCGCGAGGGUCUGUUCUUGGCUGGGGCGAUGAACUGCUGGGAGGAGCUCAGUCACCCUUCUCUCUCUCUCUUUCUGAUCUUCUCUAUCCUUCCAAACCCUCAGCCCCCUUUGCUCUGUGGGUGGCUGGUCCUAUUUAUAGAGGCCCUGGUCCUCUUCCCAAAUAUCGACGGGAAGGGAGCCAACAAUGGCGGGCUAAUUUGAAGGGGGACAGCUAGUACUAGCUACCCUGACAAAAGUAGUCUUCGCCUGCGCAAAGCUCUGGUGAUGACACCAUCUUGGGCUCCACGGUGACCUCCGUCUCGUAGUCCUCCUGGUCUUGGUCUCGUUGCACCGAAAUGGCAACCUUUGCCUGAUGCCUCGGUACUCCGCGGCUGCACUUGCCCCCUUUGCACCAAAGAGGAAGGAAGGACGCUGCGCGGGCUGGCACCCGCCUGGCGCCCCCGGUCGUCAUGGCUUGCGUCAUGGGCACCUCGUGAGAUACCCGGCCUUGAUCUCUCCGCCUCCUCGUGAGCCAGACUGACGAGGCCGCGCCUGAGGAAGCUCCGUGUCAUCCGCCCCGUGAGGCUUGGCCCUCGCGAGGGUAUUGGGUUUGUGUUGGUGAAGAUGGGCCGCGUUGGGCCCUCCUUUUAGCCACGUCGUAGGUCACAGGCAGGCAAGUCUGGGGACCCCCGUUCCCAGAAUGCUGACAGAUGCUUGAUCCCCUCAUCACUAAGAAACUCAUCCAAGGUGUAGUUCUUGAACUCGGUGCCGUAGUCACUUCUUAUCGUCAAGAUCUUUGCAUUGUGUUGACGUUGAGCCUCAUUUGCAAAGUCGAUGACGGUUUGUUGGGUCUCGCUCUUCCUCUUGAAGAAAUAUACCCAAGUGUAUCUUGAAUAAUCAUCCACAAUCACUAAGCAAUACUUCCUACCCCCAAGACUAUCGAAAGAUGGAGGCCCAAAGAGAUCCAUGUGAAGGAGCUCCAAAGGCCUCUUCGAGAAAAUGAUAGUCGUGGGAGGGUGAGUCUUUUCAUGCAGCUUUCCUUCGAUACAAGCACUGCAAGCACGAUCUUUGGCAAAACUAACAUUUGUUAGUCCAUGGACAUGGUCCCCCUUGAGAAGACUUUGCAAAUAUCUCAUAUUGACAUGGGCAAGACGGCGAUGCCAAAGCCAUCCCACGUCAACUUUAGCCAUUAGGCAUGUUGCGGUCUUAGUGAGUUGCUCCGAAAAGUUGAUCACAUAGAGACCGUUUUCGACAUGCCCAACAAAGGCUACUUUAAGAGUCUUGCUCCACAAGAGGGCCACGGUAUCAACAUCAAAGAAAGUGGCAAAACCCAUGAGUGCUAGUUGACGAACGGAAAGUAAAUUAUAUGCAAGGGACUCAACAAGCAUGACCUUCUCGAUUGUAAGAUCAUGAGAAAUGACAACCUUGCCGAGUCCCAAUACCUUAGAGGAUGAGGCGUCACCCCACUCGAUGUUGGUGGGUAUUGAUGGAAUCUUUUGCACAUCCACCACCAAGUCCUUGCUUCUGGUCAUAUGAUUAGUAGCUCCACUAUCAAGCAACCAUGAACCCCCACCGGAAGCAAACACCUACAAGAGAUCAAUGCUUGCUUUUAGGUACCCAUUUUGUAAUGGGUCCUUUGAUGUUAGUAACAAGGGUCUUAGGAAUCCAAAUAGACCAUUCAAUGUACUCAUAAGGAGAACCAACAAAUUUGGCAUAAACAUGCCCAUCUCUAACACGACACAACACAUAAGAAGGGUUAAAGUCGUCGGCUUUGUUGGGAAGGGAAGUGUUGCCCUUCUUGGCAUCACUACCCCUAACAAUGUUCUUCUCCUUCUCCUUAAUAGCACCUUCUCCCUCCUUCACAGAGGUUUGCUUGAGAGGAGGAGGUCGUUUUCCCUUGUCAUUCUUCUUCUUGUUCUUGGACUUGGGCACGUACCCAAUCUCUUCCUUGGCCAAAACUCCCUUUUGGUUGGUCAAAAGGUCGUUGAGGUUCUUCUCGCCAUGUAUGCAAGACACAAGACCUUUCUCAAGUUGCACCUUUAACUUAGCGUUCUCCUCAACAAGAUGCACAUGCUCACAACAUGGGUUAGUAGCAUUUGCAUUAUCAAUUAACAUCAUACGAGGAAAAGUGGCUUUCUCCUUGGUUAGCUUUACUUGAAGUUGAUCAUGAGACUCUUUGAGGCUAGCAUGAGCACCCUUCAAGACCUUGUGAGCCUUGUCAAGUAGGUCAAACUCCUCUUUGAGUCUAGCAAGAUCAACCCCAAGCUUGGCCUUCUCGGAGUUUAGCACACGAGAAACAACAAGAGCAUGAUCAAAUUCUUUCUUUAACUUAGCGUGAUCAACAUUGUGUGACUCCUCAAGAGCCAAACAAAGACCACGCUCUUCCGCAAGAGCAUUGGAAAGAUCCGAAAUCUCAUCGGCAUAGUCAUGACUAUGCCCCCCCAUCUUGGGGAUAGUAUCUUCGUGAGCCUCGAUCAUGUCAUUAGCUUCACCAAGUUGUUCCAAUAGAGCAACGAAAUGCUUCUUGGAUUUACCCUUGAGUUUACCCAUAAAGGACUCAAACUCAUUUUCCUCCACACUAGAUCCCACAUAUUCAUCAAUGCAAUCCAUCAAGGAAGGAUUAUUAAUGAUGGUAGUUUUGAUGUUGGGGGUUACCUUGUUGGUGGCUUUAUCCAUGAGGCACUUGGCGGUGAUGUUCUCAUUGGGUGAGUCGAAGAGAGACACUCGUGGAGUUGUUGCAAUGGCAACGGAGGCCAUGGCAACCAACUCACCAUCUUCAUCAUCAUCAUCGUCAUGGUACUCUUCUUGAACCACCAACGCCUUGUGAGGGGUCUUCUUGAUGAAGUUGCUCUUGUUUGGGAAAGACUUGGCUUUGUCCUUUCGGAUGAGCUUGCCACCAUUGUCUUCCUUCUUCUCAUACGAGCACUCUGCAACAAAAUGGCUCACAUUGCCACAAUUAUAGCAAGUCCUCACACGUUGCUUGCUCUUCGUGCCACUUGAGUUGUUCUUGUUGAAGUUUGGCCUUGAGUUUUUCUUGCUCCAAAAUUGCCUUGAAGCAAGAGCCAUGUGUUCAUGAUAGGCAUACUUUGUAUCUUCGGGAUUGCUUUCCUCUUAUUCCUCUUCUUCUUCCUCUUCAACACAAACCUUGGCCUUCAAUGCAAGGUUGGGCUUCUUUGCCCUUUGAGAGCGAAGCACCGCAUUGUCGGCGGUCUUGUCCAAGAUGCUCAUAGCCACAAACUCAUCCAACACUUCACUUGAGGACAAGGUGUGGAAGUCCGGCCUUUGAUGAAUGAUGGAGGACAUAGCCUUAUGGUAAGGCAUCAUUGCCUUGAGAAAUUUGCGCUUGAUCCAAUUGUCAUCUGUGUCCUUGCUCCCAUGAUCUCGGAGUGUUUGGUUACUCUUCGAUAAAGCUCACGAGGUUCUUCAUCUUCCUUCAUUGCAAACUCAUCAGCUUCAUCUUGCACCACUUCAUAGUUGGAGCGUUGAAUGCUUGCCUUCCCCAGUAGAGAGAAACAACUUGGUGCUUCUUGGAUUUACCCUUGAGUUUAUCCAUAAAGGACUCAAACUCAUUUUCCUCCACACUAGAUCCCUCAUAUUCAUCAAUGCAAUCCAUCAAGGAAGGAUUAUUAAUGAUGAUAGUUUUGAUGUUGGGGGUUACCUUGUUGGUGGCUUUAUCCAUGAGGCACUUGGCGGUGAUGUUCUCAUUGGGUGAGUCGAAGAGAGACACUCGUGGAGUUGUUACAAUGGCAACGGAGGCCAUGGCAACCGACUCACCAUCUUCAUCACCAUCAUCAUCAUCCUCAUGGUACUCUUCUUGAACCACCAACGCCUUGUGAGGGGUCUUCUUGAUGAAGUUGCUCUUGUUUAUGAAAGACUUGGUUUUGUCCUUUAGGAUGAGCUUGCCACCAUUGUCUUCCCUCUUCUCAUACGGGCACUUCGCAACAAAAUGGCUCACAUUGCCACAAUUAUAGCAAGUCCUCACACGUUGCUUGCUCUUCGUGCCACUUGAGUUGUUCUUGUUGAAGUUUGGCCUUGAGUUUUUCUUGCUCCAAAAUUGCCUUGAAGCAAGAGCCAUGUGUUCAUGAUAGGCAUACUUUGUAUCUUCGGGGUUGCUUUCCUCUUCUUCCUCUUCUUCUUCCUCUUCAACACAAACCUUGGCCUUCAAUGCAAGGUUGGGCUUCUUUACCCUUUGAGAGCGAAGCACCGCAUUGUCGGAGGUCUUGUCCAAGAUGCUCAUAGCCACAAACUCAUCCAACACUUCGCUUGAGGACAAGGUGUGGAAGUCCGGCCUUUGACGAAUGCCGGAGGACAUAGCCUUAUGGUAAGGCAUCAUUGCCUUGAGAAAUUUGCGCUUGAUCCAAUUGUCAUCCGUGUCCUUGCUCCCAUGAUCUCGGAGUGAAACCGCGAGUUUGGUUACUCUUCAAUAAAGCUCACGAGGUUCUUCAUCUUCCUUCAUUGCAAACUCAUUGGCUUCAUCUUGCACCACUUCGCAGUUGGAGCAUUGAAUGCUUGCGCUUCCCCGAUAGAGAGAAACAACUUGUUGCCAUGCAUCUUUGGCUAUGGCGUAGGGCCGGAGGUGAGGAAGAUCUUCGGGUGGAAUUGCAUCUUGGAUGAUGAAGAGAGCAUUCUCAUUGAAUUGAUUAUCUGUGGCUUCUCUUGGAGUGAAGUUGCUUCGGUCAUGUGGAUAGAAACCUUCUUCAAUGAUUCUCCAAAGAUUAGUAUUCACAUGAUUUAAAUGGUGCUUAAACCGAUAGACCCAAGAAUCAAAAUCCUCAUUUUUCACAAUCUUAGGGGGAGGACCGGCAUGAUUCAAAUGAGUGGAAGGAUCCAGUCCACCAUAAAUAAGUGGUGGUUCCACAUGGGCAAAGAUGUCGGUGCCAUUUUUACCACUAGAAGAAGGAGCCUUUUCACUAGUAGCUUCCCCCUUGUCGGAGUUAGCAUCCGUCACCUUGUCAGUGGGAUCACCCACUUUCAACGGUGUGGUGGAUAGUUUAAGCCCUUCAAUGAAUUUAGUAAACAUGCUUUCAACCUCGGUCGUCAUGGAGGUUUUCAAUGUCUCCAAGGCCACAUUGAAUUCCUCACGAGAGACCGAGGUUCCCCCAUUGCCCGUAGACGAGAUCGGAUUCACAUCGGAGUGCUCCUCCACACCGUCUACGAUGUCCACCAUACUCUUCGGACGGCAAAGUCCUUAGUAAAGUGACGAGGCUCUGAUACCAAUUGAAAGGAUCGAUAUGGUUGACUAGAAGGGGUGAAUAGGCAACUAACAAUUUUUAACUUUUCUUUACCAAAUUAAACUUUGCAUCAAAGUAGGUUGUCUAGACAUGCAACUAGGUGAGCAACCUAUAUGAUGCAACAACAACAAGCACACAAGCAAGCAAGGGAAGAAACACAAAUAAUCUUGCACAAGUAAAGGUACGAGAUAACCAAGAGUGGAGCCGGUGAAGACGAGGAUGUGUUACCGAAGUUCCUUCCUUUUGAGGGGAAGUACGUCUCCGUUGGAGCGGUGUGGAGGCACAAUGCUCCCCAAGAAGCCACUAGGGCCACCGUAUUCUCCUCACGCCCUCACACAAUGCGAGAUGCCGUGAUUCCACUAUUGGUGCCCUUGGAGGCGGCGACCGUACCUUUACAAACAAGGUUGGGGCAAUCUCCACAACUUAGUGGCAGGCUCCCAACAACACCACGAAGCUUCACCACAAUGGACUAUGGCUCUGUGGUGACCUCAACCGUCUAGGGUGCUCAAACACCCAAGAGUAACAAGAUCCGCUAGGGAUUAGUGGGGGAAUCAAAUUUCUCUUGGUGGAAGUGUAGAUCGGGGCCUUCUCAACCAAUCCCGAGCAAAUCAACAAGUUUGAUUGGCUAGGGAGAGAGAUCGGGCGAAAAUGGAGCUUGGAGCAUUAAUGGAGCUUUUGGGGGGAAGAGGUAAGUCAACUUUGGGGAAGAAGACCCCCUUAUAUAGUGGGGGAAACAAUCCAACCGUUACCCCCUUGAACAGCCCCGCAGAGGGCGGUACUACCACUGAGGGCAGCGGUACUAUCGCUCGGACUGCGAUACUACCGCUCCCCCACGCGGUACUUCCGUUCGGACCCCUGCGCGGUACUACCGCUCUCGAGCGGCACUACCGCAUCUAUUGCCGCUGCUUAGUGCCGCACAAUCCGACACAAGAGGUGACCCCCUCGAAUCGGCGCGGUAGGAGCUCGGUGCCGCAGCGGUACUACAGUGAGGACCCACAGGCGGUACUGCCGCGGUUGGGAGCGGUACUGCCGCCUAUGGCUCUUGAGCGGUACUACCGCUGGGAAUCGCGGUACUACUGUUGGGACCCAAAACAAGCACAAAGGAAGGGGAAUGAGCUCUCCAUUGAAGCGGAAAGGCUCAGAGGGUGUGAAAAAGGAUGUGUACGUGUUGAUUCCACCCUAGCCUUAUCAAAGCGGACCCCCUCUUGAUAGUAUGGUGCCUCCUACGAAACUAGUCCACCAAAAUGUAAACGAAAGAGCUACACCGUCUUGAAUAACACUCCGAGGGGAAAGAAAUCGUCUCGUGCCAAAGGAUGAAACUCUGAAAUGCACAAAGCACACGAUUAGUCCGCAAACAUGUUGUCAUCAAUCACCAAAACUACAUCGAGAGAGAUAUGCCUUGACAUAACUUAACCCAUUUUUGUUGUUUUGCCCAUCACAAACAGUUCAUCCGAGUGAGUCGUAUGCCGUCUAUCGCACACACCUUGAUCUGGCUGACCAUUCUUGUUUUCUUGGCUCAUCGCAAACAGUUCAUCCGAGUGAACUAUAUGCCAUUUAUCGCACACAUCAUGAUCUAUCUGACCAUUUCUGUUAUGUUGCCUAAUCACAAACAGUUCAUCUAAGUGAACUAUAUGCCUUAUAUCACACACACCUUCAUCAAGUUGAUCGUUUCUAUUGUUAUGCUUAUCGUAAACAGUACAUUGGAUCAACUAUUUGCCACGUAUCGCGCACGCAGCUCUAGUCGGAAUCGUGUUUGAUGUCUCCGCCAUCACAAACAAAUUGUAUCAUUUUUUACGGGUUUCUUACACCACAGUUUGCUAUUUAUGCAUCGCACAUAGUUUCGUUGAAGUGUCUCUGAUUGUAGUGUCGCAUUAGUAGCAUCUUGCAGCAGUGCUAGAAGCUUCCGGGAGAGGCCAGAAGCUCUACGAGAGAGCCACAAGCUCACAUGACGCGCCUCCAGGGGACGCGCCACCUGAGCUUGUGGCCCCCUCGUAGGUUUGUUUGACCUAAUUCCAAGCCUAUAAAUUCCCUAAAAUCCAGAAACCUCCAGAGCGAGAAUCGAAACAAUUAUUCGGCCGCCGCAAGCCUCUGUUCUUCCAUGAUUCCAUCUGAAGGCCUCUGUCGGUACUCUGCCGGAGGGGGAAUCAAUCACGGAGGGUUUCUACAUCAACUGUGCUAUCUCUCCGAUGAUGCAUGACAUCGUGAGUAGUUCUCAUUGGACCUAUGGGUCCAUAAGCGUAGCUCUCUCUCUCUCUCCCCCUCUCCACCUCUCCCCCCUCUCCCCUUCUCUUUGAUUUUCAAUACAAUGUUCUCUUCGGAGAUCGAUUCGAUGUAAUCCCUUUGUAGUGCGUUUAUUGAGAUUCGAUGAAUUGCGGUUUUAUGAUUAGAUUACUCACUGAAAGUAAUUGGGUCACUUCUGAACUUUAUUAUGUGUGAUUGUUAUAGUUAUGUAAUGCUUUCUGAUAUGUGGGUUUUCUUUGGCCAAGUUGAUGAAUAGAUCUUCAGUGGAAGUGGUGCAUAGUAGUAGUUUCAAUCUUGCGGUGUUCUCACCUCGUGACCGAAGGGGUAGCGAGGCACGUAUUUGUAUUGUUUCUACUAAGGGUAAAACGACGGGGUUCGAUCAUAUUGAUUGGUCUUACUUUGUCUAUAUUAUGUAAUCAUGCUCCAGUCAUUACUCUGUUUGGUAUGAACCCAAUACCUUAAGAUGCAUGCUGGAAAGCGGUCGAGGGAUGGAGUAAUAGUAGUAGAUGCAGAAUCGUUUCGGUCUACUUGUCAUAGACGUAAUGCCUAUGUACUGAUCUUGCCAUGAAUAAUAUCAUAACUAUGUGUUUUUCUAUCAAUUGCCCAACAAUAUUUGUGUACCCACUGUUGCUAUGUUCAUGAGAGAGAUGCCUCUAGUGAAAGCUAUGGCCCCCGGGUGCUCUGGACAAAAAUAAACAUCAUGAUGCGGUUAUGGAGCUAGCCAUGCGUGCAAAGACAAGCCAAUUCAGAUAAAAGUAAAAACCAGAUGGAAGCCACCAAAUAAGGGUGUCACUUAGAUCAAUGUUGAUACCUUCUAUCUGACCAUUUCUGUUGUGUUGCCUAAUCACAAACAGUUCAUCUAAGUGAACUAUAUGCCUUAUAUCACACACACCUUCAUCAAGUUGAUCGUUUCUAUUGCUAUGCUUAUCGUAAACAGUACAUUGGAUCAACUAUUUGCCACGUAUCGCACACGCAGCUCUAGUCGGAAUCGUGUUUGAUGUCUCCGCCAUCACAAACAAAUUGUAUCAUUUUUUACGGGUUUCUUACACCACAGUUUGCUAUUUAUGCAUCGCACAUAGUUUCGUUGAAGUGUCUCUGAUUGUAGUGUCGCAUUAGUAGCAUCUUGCAGCAGUGCUAGAAGCUUCCGGGAGAGGCCAGAAGCUCUACGAGAGAGCCACAAGCUCACAUGACGCGCCUCCAGGGGACGCACCACCUGAGCUUGUGGCCCCCUCGUAGGUUUGUUUGACCUAAUUCCAAGCCUAUAAAUUCCCUAAAAUCCAGAAACCUCCAGAGCGAGAAUCGAAACAAUUAUUCGGCCGCCGCAAGCCUCUGUUCUUCCAUGAUUCCAUCUGAAGGCCUCCGUCGGUAUUCUGCCGGAGGGGGAAUCAAUCACGGAGGGUUUCUACAUCAACUGUGCUAUCUCUCCGAUGAUGCAUGACAUCGUGAGUAGUUCUCAUUGGACCUAUGGGUCCAUAAGCGUAGCUCUCUCUCUCUCUCUCCCUCUCCACCUCUCCCCCCUCUCCCCUUCUCUUUGAUUUUCAAUACAAUGUUCUCUUCGGAGAUCGAUUCGAUGUAAUCCCUUUGUAGUGCGUUUAUUGAGAUUCGAUGAAUUGCGGUUUUAUGAUUAGAUUACUCAUUGAAAGUAAUUGGGUCACUUCUGAACUUUAUUAUGUGUGAUUGUUAUAGUUAUGUAAUGCUUUCUGAUAUGUGGGUUUUCUUUGGCCAAGUUGAUGAAUAGAUCUUCAGUGGAAGUGGUGCAUAGUAGUAGUUUCAAUCUUGCGGUGUUCUCACCUCGUGACCGAAGGGGUAGCGAGGCACGUAUUUGUAUUGUUGCUACUAAGGGUAAAACGACGGGGUUCGAUCAUAUUGAUUAGUCUUACUUUGUCUAUAUUAUGUAAUCAUGCUCCAGUCAUUACUCUGUUUGGUAUGAACCCAAUACCUUAAGAUGCAUGCUGGAAAGCGGUCGAGGGAUGGAGUAAUAGUAGUAGAUGCAGAAUCGUUUCGGUCUACUUGUCAUAGACGUAAUGCCUAUGUACUGAUCUUGCCAUGAAUAAUAUCAUAACUAUGUGUUUUUCUAUCAAUUGCCCAACAAUAUUUGUGUACCCACUGUUGCUAUGUUCAUGAGAGAGAUGCCUCUAGUGAAAGCUAUGGCCCCCGGGUGCUCUGGACAAAAAUAAAUAUCAUGAUGCGGUUAUGGAGCUAGCCAUGCGUGCAAAGACAAGCCAAUUCAGAUAAAAGUAAAAACCAGAUGGAAGCCACCAAAUAAGGAUGUCACUUAGAUCAAUGUUGAUACCUUCCACGUUGAAGCUACUCAGUUGGGUUCCACUGGCUUGGUCGGCGUGACAUAUCAGACUCAUUACUCCGCGCUCAAGCCCAAUAAUAUGAAUUUGCAACGGGAGCUAUGGAAUGGAAGUCCUUGCCUUACGAGAUGGAGACCAGCACCCGAUCGAUCAAGGAAUCCGCAAGAUGCACAUUAAAAAUGACGGUCAACAAGUUAUUAAGUUUUGAAAAUUGAUAAAUUUUGAUAGAAUAUUAGUAACAUGCAUUUUGCAGGAGAUUCAGGAGCUCAGUUCAAAUUUUCAAACCUUCUAAAUGAGAUACUCUCUUCGUUUUAAAAUAAAUGUCUCAACUUUGUAUUAACUCUAAUACAAAGUUGUAUGCUUAAUACACUUAUUUUAAGACGGAGAAAGUAUAUUAGUCGGCAGGGAUGUGAUUGCAGUGCCGCACACAUGUGCUAAACAAGCAAGUUAAUGUGGAGAAAGGUUUUUUUAAACGAACUGCAUUCCAUCUUUUCUCGCUGAUGUUCUGCAGCAUAUGAUUGUAAUCCUGGCUAAGCAUUAAUAAAGCUAAUUGAUUCGAAUCAGAAGAAAAGAAAAACAAACAAAAACACAGAGUUAGAGCAUCUCCAGCCGCGCCCUCAACAGACCUUCCCCAGGCGUUUUUGCCGUGCCGGCACCGAAAAAACGGCCCAGUCGCGCUCUCAGAAGCCUGUUUUUCGCCGGCUCGGAUCGAAACUGGUGUUGGCGGACCCAGGCCGAACCCGGCUUCCUGGGGCGCCUGGGACGCCGGCACAAGCGAAAAGGGCGCAUGGGUCCGCCCUGUCGGCGAGGCGAGCGUCUCUUCCCGCUGUUUUUUCCCGCGUUUUCCCCACUUCCCUCCCGCUCAUUCCUUCCGUCAAUCUCCCUCCCGCAGGGAUGAUGAAUCCACCCGAAAGCCACGCCCAGUACGCGCCCUGGGGCCAGCAAGGCAUCGUCUCUCCGCAGCCAUGGGGAUCGCCCUCGCCGGGCUACGCCGACGUGGACGCGCACGGUGGGUUCAACCCAAACGUCACCUUCCCCAUGGAUACGCGGCCCAGCGCACGCCCUCUCCCGCCUUCGCCGGCGUGCAGUACCCUCCAUACAACUACUCGCCGCCAGUCUAUGCUUCCUCCCCGACGCCCCCGCUACGCCGUGGCCCGCUGCCCUUCUCGCACCUCGACGACACCGAUGAGACCGAGGCCAACAUGGACGACAUCAUCGCGGCAGGUUCGGCCGCGGCCGCCGCGUCUCCCGGGUUCGUCACCCAGGACGAGGUGGUGGAUCUCAGUGGCGGCAUGGACGGCGAGCUCGGUUACGUCUACGGCGAGGAUGAGCAGCAGGAGCAGGAGGAGGAGGACGAGGAGGAGGAGGAGGAGCCGACGCCUGCGACGACGAAGGGGCGCAAGAAGAAGAAGCGGCGGCCAGAACAGGCGAGCCGCGCAUCAAGUGGGCGUCCAAGGAGGAGGAAUGCCUCGCCGAAGCAUGGAAAGUUGUCUGCCUCGACUCGACGACCGGCGCGAAGCAGAGCAUCGACACGUACUGGGACCGCAUUAAGGCCGAGUUCGACGAGCUCAAACUCGUCGACCCCUACUUCAAAGGCGUCUACAUGCAGCGCGGCUCCAAGGCGAUGGCGAACCAUUGGGGGCGUAUCCAGGGGGCGUGCAACAAAUGGCAUGGGGUCGUCGAGGAGGUCGCGACUCGCCCGGAGAGCGGCGCUAGCGUCGAGGAUCAGGUAUGCCACGCCGGCCUCCCGCCUCUCUUCGCCGUGUACGCGCGCCAACUGUUUGUUCCUCCGCGCAGUUGCGGCGCAUGUUCGCCCUGUACCGGCAGAGCAAUAGCGACGCCGAAUUCAAAUACCUCCCACGUUUACAAGCGCAUUGACAAGUGCGAGAAGUCGGCGGAAGUCCGGCGCACCCUCGACAAGGCCAAGGAGACCUACAAGCCGGACGCGCCGACUCCUGGCGCAUCGGAAGGGCGGCCGGACGACAACAAAGUUGCCAAGAAGGGGAAACACGCCGACGCGGCCACCGCUCGAGUGCAGGAGUCCAUCGAGCACUGCCUCGCCGACGCGCAGACCCGGGCCGUUCUUCGUGAAGAGAAGACCGAGGCGUGCUGGUCGGCGUUGAUAUCGAGCAGCGCCGUCAAGCUCGACCUGCUCCGGACGGACGUCACCGCGAAGAAGAGAAACACCGACCUGGCUUUUCUGCUGGGCGGGGCGGACAUGCUCCAGAGCACCGACGAGGCAGUCAAGGCAUGGUACUUGGCAGAGCGCGACCUCAUUUUGAACCAACUUCCCUCGACAAGGCCGCCCCCGCCGACGCCGACGCCGACGCACACGCCAAGCCCGAGUGAUGACGCCUCCACGCCGCCGCCCAGCAGCACCGAAGCCGCGCCGACACCGCCCAGCACCGAAGCAGCUCCGACACCGCCAAGCCCGCGCACGCCGACUCCGCCGACACCUGAAGCCGACCCCGUCGAGUGAUUCGUUGCGCAGGCGAACUUGCGGCGCUCUGUUUUUUGUACGCUAGAUUACAUCCGAUCGCCGAACUGUGACUUGUGAUCGCCGGAUUUGUGACGUCUUUUAUAAUGAGCGGGAACGACCAAGUUCAAAUUUUCCGCAUUCUAGGACCGGCGCUUGAGGACGUGACUGAGAGCUAGGUUGCCCCCACGAGCCGAGCUAGCGUCGGUUCGCCUCCAGGACGCUCUUUUUAGGUGCCUGGGGGCCGAACGGCUGGAGAUGCUCUUAGCUCCCUGUACAAGUCUCGCGUCGGGUCAUCGUUGCUUCCAGCGACACAAGAGACGGGUAGGGUUCCUUGCGGCCGAAGCGGCCACGCACGCACCACACCACAACUUAGACAGUCCACCCGCCGCCUCGCGGCUCCAAAACCCUCGCCUCACCCCCGCCCCCCUAGGGUUCGCCUCGCCUCGCAGCGCCGCGCCGCCGCAGCCAUGGGCUCAUCGCUCCCGGCCAAGGAGGCCAACCUCUUCAAAGUCAUCGUCGUAAGCACCCCGCCCCUCGCUUCUCCCCUCGGUACUCGAAUCGAUCUGUUCGGCCUCUGAAUCCGCUGCUCCGUAGCCGCGCUCCGCUCGAUUCGACAGUCUGGAUGCAGCCAAGCGAUUGGAGAUGCUCUAGGGGAGUGGCCGUGCGCAGGGGUUUCGUUGCCUAGGUGAUUGCUCGGGUCGUUGGGUUGGUGUCUGGCCGAGGUGAAGCUUUGAUUUGCGAGGGUUAGAUCAGUAGGUGUCUCAGAGAAGCUUUUGCUUGGGAGACGGUCGUUUCGCCAGUAGAGUGGCUAGUUUGCUUCACAGUUGGGGUCGACAUGUACUUUAUCCCGCAAGGCUGACUUUGUGAAGUUGCUGGUGCUAAAAGCCAAAUAUAUCAUGUAUUCUGGACCUUAUUGGUAUCUGUUGUUCAAUCACAGCAAUGAAUUCAGUGUCAUGUUAUAUCUAAUCUGACAUCAACUCCUUCUUGUAGUUUCAUGUUAAUAAAUUUUAUCUUGUCAUGUGAACUUGCAUCUUAACAUUGUCCAGUAGCAUUCGGUGAUAGCUGAAAGGCCAAUACUGGUCGCCGGUUGGAGUGUUACUAUAUUGGCCUGUUGAACCUUUUAUCCUAGCUAUGCAGGAGGGAUACAACAUUGAACAUUUUAUAGUACCUGGGGUUUCUUGUUUAGUGUUUUGAUCAUUUGAGUGUAUUUCUGAUAACACUUUUAUAGAACAGUUAAAAGUUACAAUAAUUUGCACUGUAGACAUGCAGACAGUUCAACUUUUGAGUCUUGCAUGAUUCUGCUUCAUACCGGGAUUGCAUGUAUAUCUACUGUGGCAUAAUGUUAUGUUCCCCUCUUAACAUUCCGUACUCCCAAGUUUCUGAUGUUUUAUGGUUGCAUGCACAGAAAUCAUAUGAAACUAAGCAGUAUAAGAAAGGGCUGAAGGCCGCAGAUUCCAUAUUAAAGAAGUUUCCCGAACAUGGAGGUCAGAAAGAUAGCAUUUGAUUUUGUUCAACCUUUUGUGUUACUCUCUUGCUCCAUGCAGCCUCCUCUGAUCGCAUACUACUUUGUCUCGUUUCUUGUAGAAACUUUAUCGAUGAAAGGUUUGACACUAAAUUGUAUGGAUCGGAAAUCUGAAGCAUACGAGCUUGUUCGCCGUGGCUUGAAGGUUCUUAAUCACAACAGAUUUAGUCCAAAUUUUGUUUUGUGACGAUUAAGUUGAUUAUAAAAAUGUAACUGAUAUGUAUCGAUCGAAUUAAACAUUUGCAGAAUGAUCUGAAGAGUCAUGUGUGCUGGCAUGUGUAUGGUUUACUUUACAGAUCAGAUAGAGAAUACAGAGAAGCUAUAAAAUGUUACAGAAAUGCUUUGAGGAUCGACCCAGACAAUAUUGAAAUUUUGCGUGAUUUGUCACUUCUCCAGGUUGGUACGACAAUCCAUUGCUUUCCCCCCUAUUUUCUGGGUAAACCAAUUCACACCUAACAUAUAGCUGCAUUCAACUUAACUCCCCCCGCCCCCGCGGUCAUGUAAUGCUUCAUCUAUUGUUCAUCAUUGGUGAAUUGGCCAAUAAGCAUGUGCACAUAUUUGGAUUCCAAACAUUUGAUUUUGUCGAGCUCUUAGUACUGGAUAAGUGAAACCAACUUUUGUGUUGGACAUUUUUUUUGUUACCAGUAUUGGUAACAUUACAUGGCACUCCUAGCAUUACAUGAAACUUGUUUUUCAGUGAUAUGACGUGAUAGAAAUAAAGGUUUUCUGCCUUCCAGCGAAUGAAUCUUAUUUUUUCUUUUUCACAGGCGCAAAUGAGGGACUUGUCUGGCUUUGUUGAGACUAGACAACAGCUUCUGACAUUAAAGCCGAACCACCGCAUGAACUGGAUUGGCUUUGCCGUAUCUCAUCAUUUGAGUUCCAAGUAUGCCACUUUCUUGGUUAUGUUGAGUUGAUCUAGAUCAAUCAAUUAAACCGUAUGACCAGUUGAGCAAAUAGGGCCUGGGACUCCAGCUCAAUUCAUAUGUUAAACAUAGAAUGAUAAAAUUCCAGUACCAGACGUUACUAUUUGAACCUCUUUUGAAUUCAAGUAAGAUCUUGUGUGAUCUGCCACAUGUCAGCAUUAAGUAUGGACCAACUUUGGAUGCCUAUAAUGCAUCGUCUAUUGAAUUGCUGCCAAAACAGCAUAGCAUAAUGAAUGCACAUAAUGCCACAUGUGUACUUUUUUGGCAGAUCAAUAGUAGUAUAUUUUUAUCUUACCUUCUUGCUAUAUCAGUUGUGAGGAUUUUCUCGCAUCAUUAUUCACAAGCUGCGUACUAUUGCAUGUAUGGCAGGCUGUAACCUUUGUGAUACGAAAAUUCACCACUAAUAUCGUUGUUUCUGGUACCCACCUGCAGCUCUUCAAAGGCAAUAGAAGUACUGGAGGCAUAUGAGGGGACACUGGAAGAUGAUUAUCCCCCAGAAAAUGAGCGGUAUGAGCAUGGUGAAAUGCUUUUGUAUAAGGUAUACGUCUCUCCCUUUCCUGAGCCAGCAUUGCAGUACCAGUAAUAAUGUAUUGGUUUACUUUAAGCGUACAGUGAACUCUUAUCAUAAUUCCCGACAGAUCAGUUAUCAAUAGCAUCCUAUGUGUUUGUCAUAUCAUGGUUUGGUUAUUGUUAAACCUGUAUGUAAUUGCUGACAUAGUGCUCUCAAAAGAAAUCUUUGGGAAUGGUUUAUAAGCAUUCUGUAAUACUGAUGCUACAGUACUACUUGCUGCCCAUCUCUUUGAACCCGGCUGUUUUUUUUGCUUUGUUAAUUUUGUCCCAUCUGGAUUUUCUUUACAUGUCGAGUUACCAUACUUAUUAGUAUUUUUGGUGUAACGUUCUUUCUGUGUGCAUUAUAUUAGUUCUAUUACUUUACCCCCACUUUCUCGUGCUAGAUAAAGUUUGUUGUCUAAAUCAGUCAAUUCAUAUCUAGUACCUUUUCUUACUUCAUCAAACAAAGAAUAUACAAUAGAUUUAAGUUGAACAUAUGGAGGUGAUAUGUAUAGUCUAAAAACAAUCCUUCAUAACUAUAACAUCAGUAAUCUUUACAGAAAUAGUGAAAGUAGAAUAACUGGUCAAAGUUGUGCUGUGGGCUCCAUGCCAAUUUCUCAAAUGUCACUUGUGACUGGAGGAAGGACAUGGUUUCAGUGUGCUAUAUAAUUAUCUGUCUUCAACCUUUCCCUGCUCCACCCUUAAUUUCAAAGCUUUCUUCAUGCUCUAACUCAAGAAAUAGCUUACAUUAUUUGACUAUUCAUUGCUAUUAUUGUUGCACAGAUAUCGUUGCUUGAGGAAUGUGGGAUGCUGGACAGAGCCCUUCAGGAGAUGCACAAGAUGGAGAGUAAAAUUGUAAGUUGUAUCUUUCUAUGUUUGAAGGAAAAAAAGUAGAACUGUCUGUAACAUGUUCGCUUCUUGAAUUUUGUCUGCUAGGUUGAUAAGCUCUCAUUCAGAGAACAAAUGGCCUGCAUUUUGUUGAAACUUGGCCGUUUUGAGGAGGCAGAGAAAAUAUAUAGGUCCCUCCUUUUUAUGAAUCCUGAUAACUACAAGUAAGUUGCUUGUACUCAUUCUCUCACGUGUCUUUGUUGGUAGUUUAUGUCUAUGUACUUAUGCUGCCAUUUUGUUUACAUGUUAUGUUUAUUUUCGUCAACUUACAUAGGUACCUGUAUUUUAGGUGCUGUUGUCAUUCAUAGGAUACCUUUAUUUAGGACCUAUUAUUUUUUAACCAGCUUAAAUUUUAUCACUAGACAUGCGUUUAGAAAGCUUUGGUGAAUUGCCAUCUUACCGUAUUAUUUUCAUGUAUGUGACCUAGAUAGCAUUUUAUUGUAACCAGAUGCAAAUUUAAUCUUAGCCGAUUGAGCAAUUCGACCAACUACAGUACUUGUAUUCUGAUGUUGGUUACAAUUGAUCGUCUUCCUCCACAUACACAAUGUCUGUGUGGCAAAACUUUGCAUACAGUUGAUUAACCUCUCUUCCGCAACUGGCUCACACCUAAACCCUAACCCUUCUAGGCUUAAAUGUUGGUAUUUUUGAUUCGGCAGGUGAUAUUAAUCUCCCUCGUAACAUAAUGCAAUAAGAGCCACACGUUCGUGAUAAAAGGGAAACUAUCACAAAAUUUGACCUAUAAGUCUAAUGCCAGCUGGGUUCUGUAACUAUUUUCUAUGUUAGCAACUUAGAAUAAAAUACUAUACCUCACUGCAUUGUGUAUACAGUCCUGGCUGGUAUGGUCAACCUACUUCUGAUACUCUAGAAUUGGUCGUUGCCCUGUUCUAUUCAGGUACCUCAUAGCUGUGCAGAAGUGCCUUGGCCUAUACUCUGAAAAUGGUCAUUAUUCCGCUGAUGAUGUUGAACGAUUAAGUGCAUUAUAUAAAUCACUCAAGGAAGAAUAUAGUUGGUCAUCGGCUGUUAAGGUAAACCAUCUAAAAUUGUAAUCUCAUUUGCAUUGAUACCAGUUUUGUUGGUUCUUCCUUAUAUCCAUGGUUGAGACCUUUGUGGACACUGCAAAAUUUACCCUUGAUGCAGGCAUACAUCAUUUUGUUUUGCAUUUUCAUGAUAAUAUUUUGUUUUACAUGCGAAGUUAAAUGUUAUUUUCUCAUCCGUAUUGACUGUAAGUAGGCCAUAUAACCACCAACUUAUUAAUCUAAGUUUUUCUCAUACCCUCCGUGCAACAGCGCAUACCUCUUGAUUUCCUAGAAGGUGAGAAAUUCCAGGAGGCAGCAGAUAAUUAUGUCAGACCACUAUUAACCAAGGUAAUCAUAUAAUUUUAAAGUGAUGGUUUGUUAGUACCUCGAAGGUGUCUCGUGGUCUCUGGCUGUGUGUGUAACAUGUUGCCUUAAGAUUUUUAUUGGGUUUACUGGGAGCAUGCUGUUACUCAUUGUUAUUGCUGAUUGUAAUGUGUCCCAUAUCUUUUAGGGAGUGCCGUCACUUUUCUCUGAUUUAAGCCCGCUUUAUGAGCAUCCUGGCAAGGUAACACAAGCUAUACUAGUCAACAGCAUUUUCUUUUUCUUAUUUCUUGUUUGUGCUACAAACCAUUUACAGAAAAUUGUUAAUCUCAUUAAUAGGCAAACAUAUUGGAGCAAUUAUUUCUUAAGCUAGAAGAUUCAAUUAGGACUUCUGGAUGCUUUCCUGGAAGGUAAUCUUUUUUGCCUGGUCAUUAUUCUCAGUUUUAUCAUUCUUCCCAUAUCCUCAUUAGUGUUAUUGAUCACAGCUCAUCUUAAACUGUAAAAUUAUUGCUUGGCACCUUUAUCGGGCAAAACUUGAUAUCAGGUUAUGAAUUUUUUGUUACCAAACUGAGACCGUUUUCGAUUUUUAGUCAACUUAGCGAACAUGUAUGUAGUAGCACAACAAUAUGGUUAUAUGCUUCUACUGCAAUAUUAGGUUAAUUAACUUAGCUGCUCGUCACUUAGUUGGCAUCUUUAAAGAUGCAAAAAGCCGAAAAAUAAUGUGCUAGAAUCUGCCUGGAAGGGGUAUCUAGAGGAAUUUCUCUGCAAGGCAUCUUAUCAACCAUUCUUACACAAGGAACAAUGAUGCACGUGAAACUUGGUAUGGUUGAUGUAUGCCAAAUUGUGCAGAAUUUUGAUGCUGCCAGAACUCCUAUACCGUUCUCGGCUAUAAUGCAGCAAAUUGUAACUUGAAAGUGUUCUAUCAUUCUUUUCAAGCAUGUGGCUUCUUAAAAAACCCGCUACCUAUCAUACUCCUUGGAAGUAGUCAUGUGUUAGCACUAGCCAUUGCUAGUUUGAGCUGUCCCUGAACCUGUAGUUUUGACUUAAUCUGUAAAUUGUCACGUAUUUCUUUAACGGUUUCUCCCUGCAGUUCGCAGAUGGAACCUCCAUCCACACACAUGUGGACUCUGCUGUUGGUUUCUCAGGUUAGCAUUUGGUGUGAACACCUGCAUAUUACCUGAUAAACCACCGAGUUAUUUUCAAAUAUAUCUUUUGAAGUUGCAUCAUUAUGUUUGUCACAUGUCAUGAUGCAGCACUAUGACAGAAGGAGCCAGUAUGAUAUUGCUCUGGAUAAAAUUGACGAGGCCAUUUUACACACGCCAACUGUCAUUGAUUUGUACUCCAUAAAGGUAAAUUCUCUCCCCAUGCGCAAUUGUGUUUUCCUUAGUAUGCAAUUAAGCAGCAUCACCAUUUCUCCAAUAUAGGAUUUCCUGUAAAUUUCAGUUCUUUUGAACUGAAAUUUCAUUCUUACUUAAAUGGUUUCGUUUGGUGCCAAUUGCUAGUUUAAUACAACCUCUGUAACUUAAUGUAAGACAUUUUUGCAGUUUAAGUUAAACUGCAAAAACGUAGUUUAAGUUAAACUGCGAAAACGUCUUAUCCUAAUUUUUGACAUUUCUGUAAUCUUGCACUGCUGGUUUGGUCUUUCUUUGGAUCCCCCUCCUCCUCUUUAAUAAUGAAAUACCCAACAUAUUUCUGCUGCAUUCUCCUAAAAAAGGAGUUGUUUACCCUUGCUAACCAUUUCUUGUCUUACCUUUCCAAUCUGCAAAAUUUCUUUCUCCAAUCUACUGGUCUUACACUCGUACUUUUUUGCUCUUCUCGCCCCCUCUAAAUAAUAUUCCCAGAAUAUAAGGUGCACAUGCUUUUCGAGAUAAAACUUUGACCAUCAAUUAUACCAAUAAUACGUAAAUCAUGUUACUGAAGAAUUAUACCAUUGAAAACUUCUUUCGGAUACAAAUUCAAUGGUGUAUUUUUUAUGACAUAAAACCCACAUUUCAUUGGUUAAAUCUAUGGUCAAACUUAAAUCUUGAAAAGCAUGUGCACCUUCUAUAUUAUGGAACGGAGGGAGUAGUAACUUCUCUUACUUUGUUCACCGUACAUUGUGUUUAGAUGGCAUAAUUCUCUGUAAAUAAAUCUGCUAGUGCACCUGCUUUAUUUCAGGGGAAUAUUUUGCAACAUGCUGGCAAUUUUUCUGCAGCAGCAGCAUUAGCGGAUGAAGCUAGGUCCAUGGACCUUGCUGAUCGUUAUUUAAACAGCGAGUGUGUAAUGCAGAUGCUUCAAGCUGAUCAGGUAUAUUCAGUUAGAAACACAACUACUUUUUUGCACGGUUCCGCUGAUGUAAUAGUAAAACAGACACCGGCGAACCUUUUGUCAGCAAACACUACACAUUUAACUGCUUAUUUUGUGACUUGUGAAGGUCGGGCUAGCUGAGAAGACUGCUGUCUUGUUUACAAAAGAUGGAGAUCAGCACAAUAAUCUCCAUGACAUGCAGUGCAUGUGGUACAUGCUUCCCUCCCUCCACCAUUAAGUGUCUAUUUUUUUCUUCACUCUCUAAGUCGAUGAUCUCUUUAAGGUAUGAACUUGCUUUUGGCGAGAGUUAUUUUCGUCAAGGUGAUCUUGGCCGGGCUCUGAAAAAUUUCUUAGCUGUUGAAAAGCAUUACACUGAUAUGACUGAAGAUCAGUUUGACUUCCAUUCAUAUUGCUUGCGGAAGAUGACACUUCGGGCGUACGUUUCUAUGCUGAAGUUUCAAGACCGUUUGCAUGCUCAUGAAUACUUUCACAAGGCUGCUGCAGGGGCUAUCAGGUAAUGGUUCCUAUUGGUCUGUCUAUCAAUUAUUUUGUACUUCCCUUCAGAGAUUUUUCUAAAGCUAUUGUUAAAAAUUGUAGGUGUUACAUGAAAUUACAUGAUUCUCCAUUAAAAUCAUCUGCUGAGGAGAAUGAUGAGUUGUCAAAACUGCCAGCUGCCCAGAGGAAGAAGUUGAGGCAAAAACAGAAGAAGGCAGAAGCUCGAGCUAAAAGGGUAACCUCCAGAACUUUGUUUUAGAUGUAUCACUGCUAAGUCUGUCUUAAUUUGCCCUUAAAUCUCCCCAGGAGGCUGAAGAGAAACAAGAGGAUGAAACAACUUCAACCAACAGUUCGAAAUCUGGGAAGAAACAACAAGCAAGGCCAGUUGAUUUGGACCCACACGGUGAAAAAUUGGUCCAGGUAUUCUUUUUCUAUGUGAUCAGUUGUACUCGUAGUAUUGUACUUUUAGAAACAUUAGUUUUUAUCUUUUUAGGUCAUUGAAUGAUUUCGUCUUCAUUUUAUGCAUUUCUGUUUCCAGGUUGAAGAUCCACUUGCAGAAGCCACAAAAUAUUUGAAGCUUCUGCAGAAUAACUCGUCAGAUUCAUUAGAAACUCAUAUACUUUCAUUUGAACUGAACAUGAGAAAGCAAAAGGUUUUACUCGCUUUUCAGGUAUGGUAUUAUGCACCUCAUUUUGGGGGAUAUCCCAGUCUUCUGUUUUUUUCCUUUUCUUUUGCUGGAAAUAAAUUCUACCCCAUUAAGAAUUUAAGAUAUGGUAUCGCUUGAUUAUAAUUGAGAGAGCAUCUGUUGCUUUCCUUAUAUUGUUGAUAGACUGAUGCUCAUCUUUCCUACAUCAUGUUUCUUUAUGAUGCCAUUGGAUUACCUGCCGUUAUUGCUUAGUUGGUGUAUGUGGGGUUGUGGAAGAUGAAAACCGAGUGAUCUGCACAUUAAAAAUAGCACUGCGUAGUGCUUUGUUUGAAGUGGAAAUUGUUUCAUUCGUUGAAGAUGUUCCUAAAUAUACCGCCUUUAAGCAUUAGGUUUUGCAGCAAUAUAUUAGUUAUUUCUUAAUAUUUCAGAACUUUUAUGACAGAUGUACUAAUAUUACUUCUAUCAGAGCAAUUGUGGUAUACAAAGCUUACCUGCAAACAUUUUUUUUACGGGAAAGUUUACCUGCUAACAUAAUUAUCUACUCCCUCCGUAACUUAAUAUAAGAUGUUUUUUGACACUAUUGACACUAUUGAUAGUGUCAAAAAUGGUCUUAUAUCAAGUUACGGAGGGAGUACUUAGGAACAGAUGCAGUAGUGUUUAAAAGUUGAACUAGAUACACUAUCUUAAUCUGUUAUAUAGGCUUCUUAGUUUUCUUUAUCUAUCUCUUGUCACAGGCGGUCAAGCAGCUCAUUAAAUUGGACGAAAAUAAUCCAGACAGUCACCGAAGUUUGGUAAGCAUCCAAAAUUGCACCUUUGAUUUUUCUAUCAAAAUUCGGAAUGCCAUAAAAUUAUUUUUCAUUUUUAUUUAUGAGUGCGUCAAGAUCAUUUUAUCUAGAGGUCUGGUUUGGCUGUGCAUAUUUAUCUAUAUUCCGUUAGCCUGAGAUUGGCACUAUAAAUCUGGAUAUUUGUUUGGAAGCAACACAGUUUGUUUACCUUUGUUGGGUUUAUUCUUUUAUUUGUGUUGCUAUAAGGAGUCAGACCAUAAACGCUGGGUGCACUUUGUAUUUAGCAGUGCCUUUUGAACUGAGUUUUUCUCUUGGUUUGGAUGGAAGAAGUUGGUGAGCCGAACCCUGUACAACGUUUUACUGGUGUAUACUCUGCAGAUGAUGUGCUGAGUAACUGCCCUGUAAGGAAUGACCAUUAUAUUACAGGAAUAAUUGCUUUUGUAACGCUAAAAUUCUUCUGGAGGAUAUAACUUGUUCAAUUCAAUGAAAUCUACAAAGUAUGUUUGUUGACCAAUUGCAUAAACCACAAAUGGAAUCCUCUUUUAGGAAAUGGAUGACUAGGAGUUUAUUGCCACUAUAUAUGACCUAGUGCUUACCUUUUAGCUUCUAAUCUGUUUAGGUUAUUGUUUGUUGUCGAGAAUUUAGUAUUGCUUUGUUAGCAUUACUAUUACUAUGCUUGGAGUGUAUUUAGCAUGUGUUAAUAUGGAAUGUGUACAUAUUGUUCAUAUUUCAUUUAUUUUUUUAUCAUGAGCUGACUGUUAGCAAUAAAUAUAUUCAACUUUGUUCUUUAUUUUAUUUGCAGAUAAGAUUCUUCCAUAGGAUAAACAAUCUUCCGGCCCCAGGAACUGAUUCUGAGAAAUUAAUAUGGAACGUUCUGGAAGCUGAAAGACCAGAUCUAAGGUUCUGAGAUGGUGAUUAAUUUUAUCAGUAUGCAUUUACUCCAGUUUAUCUGACCAGCGAGUUCUUGCAGGCAAUUACACGGGAAAUCUCUUGUUGAAGUAAAUAUAAACUUCCUUGAAAAGCACAACGGUAAUUAUCUUCAUUUUUCGGUUUAUGGACCUUUUCUUGACCACGAAUUUUACUAACUCAAAUCGUUCUUUGCUAGCUUCUUUGACACACAGAGCAGCUGCAGCUGAAAUGAUGUACCUCUUGGAGCCGGAUAAGAAGCUGCAGGUGAUUAAAUUAAUUGAAGACUCAACAAAUAACACAGCAUCAGGGUAAAGAUAUGGAAGAAGAAUAUGCCUCUGAUUUUAUUCACUUGCUGUGUACAUAGUAUUUAUAUCAUCUGAACUUUCUGCAGAAAUGGUGUGCUUGGUCCCAUUAAGGAAUGGGGCAUUCAAGAUUGUAUUGAUGUUCAUAAAUUGCUGGAUACUGUUUUUGCUGAUCAGGAUGUUGCAAACAGUAAGUUCCAAUAUGGCAAUGCCCAAAUUGUUUAUUUUCACCUUACAUUUAUGUUUUUGAGGGCAAUGGACAAGUCUUCUCUUUCUGCUGCUAUAAUAUGUUGGUUGCUAAAAUGAAUACAUAUAUUUGAGAAAAACCGAUUACUUGCAAUACUGAACUGCGCUGGAUGCUGGCCUGGUAUGGUUUGCCUGUAUACCGGGCCAAUAGAUUCUUAUUUUUAGUUAUAUAUUGUCAGGAUUAACCUCGGUAUCUCUGCAGGGUGGAAGGUACGCUGUGCUGAAUAUUUUCCUUGCUCAACCUACUUCGAAGGCGCGAAAAGUGCUAUUACUGCACAUAUUCCCGGCAGUACUUCCGAGAGUUCACCAGAAAAUGGAGAUGUACCAAGCCCACAAGCAAAACUUGAGGGAGACAGACACAGUUUGAAUGGGACCGUGCAUGUUGUGGAUGAUCUGAGCAACCUUAGCAUGAGGUAAAUGCGCCAACUAGUUGCUGCCUGGUUACAGCUGGAACAGAAAUAUAUUUGGAACUGGAGCCAGUGCCCAACUAACCAAAGUGCACGGCAAGAUAUCCAAGUGGGAAUGUGUUUUGUGCGCAGUGAUUAACUUGAUGCAUUCAUUUGAAGAGUAUAUUAUUGAUUGGGAGUUGAGAUCUCUUCAAUCUCCGGUGAUUAUCUCUGUUCCAGCUUUUGUACCUUUUCGUUGUCAUCUUACAUAUGGUGGAAGGCCAAAACCUUUCAUCCCAGUUACAAUGGGGCUUCGCCAGGGUUUGUUGCUUGGCAGCAACAGGAUGUUACGAUUCUUUUGUCGAAGCCGAUCUUGAAUUUGUUGCCUGGUGGUUCUUUUUGUCGCAGAUAGCUACCUGCACGCUUGUUGGACUACAACAAUUUUUGGCAUAAAACAGUUGUUAAUCUCAAACUUUUGUGAACCAUGAUGUGUUGUUUGCAGUAGUUGGAUGUACUGGGGGUUGCUCUACUUUUGCAACUUUUGGUCCCCAUGGUUGUAAAUUAGCCAAGUUAAUCCUGGACAUUGAUAUUGUAUUUCGGUCUGUCCAGACAAAUAAUCGUCAAUGUUAACUGAGUUCUUUUCUUCCACAUGCGUAAUACACAUUUGGUGAAAUUU
RNAcentral lists this long non-coding RNA (85655 nucleotides) under Triticum aestivum (bread wheat). RNAcentral's name for it is "long non-coding RNA (TAES_LNC025747)". The record is from RNAcentral. Lineage: Eukaryota; Viridiplantae; Streptophyta; Magnoliopsida; Poales; Poaceae.